UUUUUUUUAUGUUUUAUGAGUUUUUUCAAUAUGUAAAAUAGAGAAUCGGGUGAAAUUUAUACUUCCAAUGGCCUAAUUUUUUUAAUUUAAUAUAUUUUAUAAAAUAAAUGAUUAUAACAUAUUUUAACUUAUUGAUUUAUCAAAAUUUAUUUCAACUUUGAUCCCAAAAAUAUUUUUGUAUUCAUAUAUUAUAAUUUUAUAAGUCACUGAAAAUAUAUUAUCACUAAGCUGCUUUAAAAAUACUUUGAAUAAUUAAAAUUUUAGUGUAAUUGUUCUUGCCCAUAACUAUUGUGAUUUAGGUGGAAAUUUAUAUGAUUGAAGAUUAUGUCCAAUUUAUAUGAUUGAAGAUUAUGUCCAAAUUGUUGGCAUUUUGAAAACUUUUUUUCUUUUUUAUCGUUUUGUGUUAAUUCAAUUCUUACUUUCUUUCCUCUACCAACCCGCACCAUACCUCUCAGAGAUAAUGUGAUACUAUCAUAUUCUCAUCGUAUUCGAUUCUAUUUACUUUCUAUAAGAAAUAUUUUAUUAUUAUAGGUCUUCUUGUAUGUGUCAAUUAUAUAAAAAUCUUUACAAAACUAAUACAGAUUAUCAUUACAAUACCUAGAAUAUAAAAUUCUCAAAAUAUCAAAAUAUCGACAUAAAUUUAUUUUUGACUAUAUAUAUUGAUAAUUUUGAAUUUUAAAAUUUUCUCAUCGCCUAGUCUCCAUAAUUAAUUGGUUGGCAUUGAUAGUGAGUUGGUGAGAAAAAAUUAAAAUUUAUAAUUAUUGAUAUAUAUGUAUAUAUAUAUACACGUAUGUAUGUAAUCUUAUUUUUUAAUCUAUUAUUCAAUGAUAGGAAGAUUAAAAAAAAGAAAUACAUGAUAACAAGAUUCAUGAAUAUAUUAUUAAUUUGGGAAAUUAGAGUGUAGAGGCAUCUUGAUUUUUUUAUCCGUUCGUCAAGUAUUCUUUAGAUUAAAAGAAUUUUAUAAUAUAAAUAUUCAGUAAACCAUGUCUCUUGAAUUCAAGUGUUGGACAACUAAGAAAAAUACAUGAAAAGUUUAAAUCAUUAAAAUGAAAAUAUUAAAAUGGAUAGGUUGUGUUAUGAAAAUUAUAAAAUAUUAAUGAGAAUGCAUAAUUUUGCUAAAAAAAAAUUGAAGGAGAAUUGAUCAUAAUGGUAUAAAUAUAUAUAUAUGUGAUUUCAAAAAAAAAGAGAGAAUUAUUAGUAUUAAAAUCCAAAGAAAAAUGAACGCAACCCAACACCACAACACAGUCGAAAUCUCUUCCUCCCCCUUUUCUUGGCCUCAAAUUAUUAAUCGAAACCUCAGAUUCCAAAACCCUCCCCAAUCUCCAACUCUCGAAACGAUUGGUCACGGCGUCCUCCACGUGGCCCCACCUCCCCUCACACACCCAAACGCCUCCCUCUCGUUGCUCCCUCUUCGUACCGCUCUUAUACACUCGCUCCAUCAACCUUGCUUCUUACUUGCAAGCAUCAGCCUCGAUGGCGUACGCAACCCAUCCUCUCCUCUCCUCCGCUCUCUUUGGCACCAAUCUCCGCCCCAAAACCAAACCCAUCCCUUCUCUCAAUCCCUUCCUCCUCCCCAGAAGGCCCAGCUCCGUGCAAUCAUUCCUCGAUCGUCACAACAGGAAGAGCCGCCCCGUCCUCCCCCCUUCUCCCACCGCUGCAGCCGCCGCCGCCGCCUUCCUUCUCUCCUCCUCCCUCCCACCUACCGCUAUCGCUGACGACGUCGCCUCGGUUUCGCCUCCCCCCUCGUCGCCUCCCGUCCAGCUGGAGGUUGCCUCCAAGCCCGCUCCCCCCGCCUCCUCGAACCCCUUCUCCCAGUCUCUCCUCACCGCCCCGCGGCCGCAGGCCUCGCCUGACCUCCUAGAUGGCUCCCAGUGGCGCUACAGCGAGUUCCUUAAUGCCGUCAAGAGGGGCAAGGUCGAGCGCGUCCGGUUCAGCAAGGACGGCGGCCUGCUCCAGCUCACGGCCAUCGACGGUCGCCGGGCCGCCGUCGUCGUCCCCAACGACCCUGACCUAAUCGACAUCCUGGCGAUGAACGGCGUGGACAUCUCCGUCUCGGAGGGGGACGGCGGCAAUGGCCUGUUCAAUCUCAUCGGGAACCUCAUCUUCCCGUUCCUCGCCUUCGCCGGCCUGUUCUUCCUAUUCCGCCGGGCCCAGGGCGGGCCCGGUGGCGGCCCGGGUGGGCUUGGCGGGCCGAUGGACUUCGGCCGGUCCAAAUCCAAGUUCCAGGAGGUCCCCGAGACCGGCGUCACCUUCGCCGAUGUCGCCGGGGCUGACCAGGCCAAGCUCGAGCUGCAGGAAGUGGUGGACUUCCUGAAGAACCCGGACAAGUACACGGCUCUGGGGGCGAAGAUCCCCAAAGGUUGCCUCUUGGUGGGCCCACCCGGCACCGGCAAAACGCUGCUGGCCCGAGCUGUGGCGGGAGAGGCCGGCGUGCCCUUCUUCUCGUGCGCGGCGUCCGAGUUCGUGGAGCUGUUCGUGGGUGUGGGGGCGUCGAGGGUCCGGGAUUUAUUCGAGAAAGCGAAGGCUAAGGCACCUUGCAUUGUGUUCAUCGAUGAAAUUGAUGCGGUGGGAAGGCAGAGGGGGGCCGGGCUUGGCGGUGGCAACGAUGAGAGGGAGCAGACCAUCAAUCAGCUCUUGACAGAGAUGGAUGGGUUCUCUGGGAACAGUGGGGUGAUUGUUUUGGCAGCGACCAACAGGCCGGACGUGCUUGAUUCGGCACUGCUACGGCCUGGAAGGUUCGAUCGGCAGGUCACAGUGGAUAGGCCUGAUGUAGCUGGCAGGGUGAAGAUCCUACAGGUUAGUUGGUAUAAUGUGGAUACAUUGAAUCUUUAUAAUGGGCAUUGUUUUAAUGGUUUUUGAUAAUUUUGUACAUGUUCUGCAGAAUAUUAGUUCACAGCAAGAUGUUGUUUUGAUGCUUUGUUAAUGAUGGUGUUCAUGUUUUUGAUAAAAUUGCACAUGUUUUGCAAAAUAAUUAGUUCUUAGGUGACUAAAUUGUUCUCAUAUCAUAAAAGUUGACUCAAAUGAGCUUAAAAAUGAACAUCUCAAGGAAGAAAAAAAUAUAUCUUGAUGAAAUGGGAACAGUGGAUAGGCCUGAUGUAGCUGGCUGGGUGAAGAUCCUACAGGUUAGUUGGUAUAAUGUGGAUACAGUGAAUCUUUAUUAUGGGCAUUGUUUUAAUGGUUUUUGAUAAUUUUGUACAUGUUCUGCAGAAUAUUAGUUCAUAGCCAGAUGUUGUUUUGAUGCUUUGUUAAUGAUGGUGUUCAUGUUUUUGAUAAAAUUGCACAUGUUUUGCAAAAUAAUUAGUUCUUAGGUGACUAAGUUGUUUCCAUAUCAUAAAAGUUUGACUCAAAUGAGCUUAAAAAUGAACAUCUCAAGGAAGAAAAAAAUAUAUUUCUUGAUGAAAUCUUGCUUGCUUUUGGGAUUCCAUCAUGCAUUAUUCCUUCAUGUUCUGGUUCCUAGCUAAUUCGGUCCAUGAAAUGGGAGGCUGAUCUGAAGUAAAUAUGCAGCAAUUGAGACUGUUACGAUUGUAAGUGAUCAUCAUGAUGAAGCUUCAGCUACCAGUGCUCCUGAUUCUAUUUUUAUCAAAGUUUUAAAUCUUAAAUGAUCGCAAACAGCUAGUGAUAAAUGAAGAUGUAAUUUGUUCUAUUUGAUUUGUGCUGUUACUAUUAUUUGGCUGAUUCGUCCAGGCAGAAAUGUCUCUGCUAUUUUAAGAUAUUGAUGAAUACUAAGUUCUCUAUUGAUGCUUCGAACAGACACUUAUUUGCGUUCAUUGUUUUGCCUUAUGACAAAUUUCUAAUGUAACUAUGUUAAAAUAUGACUAAUUUGUUGUGAGUUUGUACUUUAGCAUCACUGCUGCAUGCAGUGUUUCUGACCUGCUGUAUCAAUGGCACUUUCUUUUGUAUUUUCAAGUAGAAUUUCUAAUUUUGGUGUUAUAUCUAUGUGUUUGAUGUGAAACUUAAGAAUACUUGCUUUGAUGCUGCCCUCAAACAUAGAUUUCUUUUGUUUGGACUAAAUGAUAAAUCACUGAUGUGAAGGUUUUUACUGCUUAGGGAGGUUUAGACUUGAGAAGUAGUUACUAUUAAUCAUCUAGCAAAGCAAGAAAUGGAUGAAGGAACAUGUGCACAUUAUGUAAAAUAGAGUGAGAAUCAGAAUAUAAAAAAAAUCAAUGUUAGGAUUCAUUACAGGAUUAGUAGGAGAUUACUUGAAGACUCUCACCCAACAAGGGGACUCAACAACCUUGAGACUUUAUAUCGUUAAUUAUAUACUAUUAUAUAAAUUUAUUAAAGCUUUCCUACUUUCUUGAAUUGCACCAAGCCUUGUUUUUAGAACUCAUCUUGAGUGACCAUUGAGAAUGAACUUGAAUACAUGACUGUUGCCUCUACUUGAAAGUCUACCUCAUUCAAAGAUUAAAAGAAAAAAAAGAAAUUUGUCGGUACCAUACUGGAACUUGGUUGUGGGAUAUAAAUGCAUCAUUAGUUUUAUUGAUUAUUCUUGUACUUUCAAAUUUUGAUCAUAUUCCACCAUUUUAGUUUUUGUUGUAGCAACUACACUGGAAAAUUGUGUGUAUAUAUAUGUAUAAACAAUUUGGUGGAUAUCUGGCUUAAUAUUUGGUAUUAUAGUUGAAGGCAAUUUUUUGCAAACUUUAUUUUCGGUGAUAUUGUAGACGAUGCCCUUAUCUUACAUCUGCUAGGUGUAAAUAUGUUAAGUCAGCAUAUCCUUGUGAGUACCUUUGACACUUGAAAAGUUGUAGAGCAUAGCCAAAGCAUUUCUGCAUAAUGUGAAUAUGGUCCUUGACCACUGUAUAAGUUUGUGGUUUGUUUAGUUGAAGAUAUAAUUUAAUCUUUUAUGAUUUUCCUGAAUAAUGGAUACUACCCAGUAGAUGAUACCUGUUGUAGAGUUUCUAAGAACUUUUAUUCUAUUUCCAGGUUCAUUCAAGAGGAAAGGCACUUGCUAAGGAUGUAGAUUUUGAAAAAAUUGCUAGAAGAACCCCGGGAUUCACUGGAGCCGACUUGCAAAACCUGAUGAAUGAAGCAGCUAUUCUUGCAGCCAGACGCGACCUUAAAGAAAUAAGCAAGGAUGAGAUCUCAGAUGCUCUAGAGAGAAUAAUUGCAGGGCCCGAAAAGAAAAAUGCAGUUGUCUCAGAUGAGAAGAAGAAGCUUGUAGCGUACCAUGGUAUACUGUUGCACGAACUUAGUCUAAACUCUUGCUGCAUGCCUUGAGGUCAAAAAAAUUGAUAGAUCCUGUAUGUUCUUUGCAGAGGCUGGACAUGCCCUUGUGGGUGCACUCAUGCCUGAGUAUGAUCCGGUUGCCAAGAUCUCCAUCAUCCCUCGAGGUCAAGCUGGUGGGCUUACAUUCUUUGCCCCGAGCGAGGAAAGGCUCGAGUCAGGACUUUACAGCAGAAGCUACCUAGAGAAUCAAAUGGCCGUUGCCCUCGGUGGAAGGUUGGAAAAAGAAGCAUUGAUAUUCCAAACUUUUCCCACUCCUCUCAUUUAGAUUAAGAUUUUAUGUACAAUUAACAUUCUAUCACUCAUGUAUAGCUGCUGCAUUUCAGGGUGGCAGAGGAGGUAAUUUUUGGGGAAGAGAAAGUCACAACAGGAGCUUCAAAUGACUUCAUGCAGGUUUCACGAGUGGCAAGACAAAUGGUUGAGAGGCUUGGAUUCAGCAAAAGAAUUGGGCAGGUUGCGAUAGGCGGACCUGGUGGUAAUCCGUUCUUAGGUCAACAGGUAUUUAAACAUUAAUAAUUCGAAUAAUGUUUCUUAACCUGCAUGUUUAGGCUUGCACUGAUAAUGGCGUGGAUGUCGAUUUUGACAGAUGUCAUCUCAAAAGGAUUAUUCCAUGGCAACUGCUGAUGUGGUGGAUUCUGAGGUUAGAGAGCUUGUGGAGAGGGCUUAUGCCAGGGCCAAGCAAAUCAUUACCACUCACAUUGAUAUCCUUCAUAAGCUGGCACAACUUCUCAUUGAGAAGGAGACCGUUGAUGGAGAGGAGUUCAUGAGCCUGUUUAUUGAUGGCAAAGCAGAAUUAUAUGUUGCAUGACCUAACCAAUACCCUUAAGUUUUCCCUGUUGUUGAAUUAUGUUCACAACACAUUCAAGGAAAAAAAAAGAAAAAGCAAGUGAAUAAUUAGAUUGACAUAGCUAUGAUGCAUUUUGUAUAUACAUCCUAUUUUUCUUAUCUUGAUAAUGGAGAUUCAGUAAAUACUGCUGAGCUAUUAUGAACUACUAAGCUUCCUUGUUUCAUUUUGUGGUCUUUUGAUGCAUUUUAAAAAUCAUAACGGAAUAUUUCUUCUAAUGAUUAUUUGAUUGACAUGUACAUGGUUUUAUCUUUGGCUUUCUUCUCUUUUGAGAAUUGGCAAUGGAAGACAGAAAUAGAGAUGGUAUUGUUCUUGAUAUUGUAACAUUGUAUACAUGUGGAUGUCCAAUUUUGUGCUCAACCUUGUUGCUUUUGUUUUGGUAAUAUGGGAGUCCUUUUACAUGUUUUAGCAUUCAAAAAGCAAUUUGCUCUCUUUGUGAUGUUUUUAGUCUAAACUACUUGCAAUUUGCUUAAUCUUUUUGUUCUUUCUCUCUCACCAUGGCCAAGGGGAGACAUUUUUCCUAUCAGUGGCUGCACCAAAAAUAUUGGUCUGAACUUUAUGAUACCAGGUUUUUUUUUGUAUCAAUUUAACUUAAGAUGAACAAAUCUAUCACUGAAUAUUUUGUGUUCCUGAUAUGUCAUACUUGCUAACAAUUCUUCUACAGUGCACAAGAAAAUAAUGACAACUAAGAUAUUAUAAUUCACAAUUUUUAAGUUUAGUUUUGGUUGUAUAUUUUUAUUCAAUGAAGUGGAUCAAACUUGAGUUCCUUGUAUUGUUUCCAUAAUUUUUACUCACAUUAGACCAUAAUUUUGAUCUUUUGGUGAUGAUGUGUUCUUCUUUGCAAAGAUAAAGAAGUUAUUUGAGCUUUGGAUCUUACAAUAAUCUAAUUUUAUUAACAUAAAUUUAAGCAGUAAAUUAUAUAUUUAGCUAUUGAUUUGGUAAUGAUAUUAUCAAAUACAAUUAAUACAAUAACAAUAACAAAACUGUAAUGUUUAAUUAUUUAAGAUAGGCAAAUACAAUUAAUAAAUUUUAUAUUUAUAAAUAUAAUUACUAAAAUAUGGUACUUCCAAAUAGUACCAAACUGUUAAUAACAAGUGCUGAACUUUUCCUAAACAAAAGCAGUCAUCCAAAACAUAGAUCUUUUUCGAAGGAGAGUUGGUACAAAAAGAUACUGCCUCAACCAGAGUAUGUAUGAGCUUUAAGGUUGUGUUCCUCCCUGUCCUUUUUUUCUACUUCACUUCCCUCUCCCUUAGAGCUCAUAAGACCCUAGCAGAUCACUUCGAAGGGAUCGACUUCCUUGAUCACUUCGAGGGGAUUGGUCUCGAUCGCUUCAAGGGGAUUGGCCUUCUUAGGUUUAUCCACAGACUGAAAUAAUAUUUCAUUCAUUGAUUGAUUUAAAGAAAGAGUUAUAUCACUAUUUAUAAAGUUCCACCUACAGUUCAUCAGGACUUGGACUCUUAAUAAUAAUUAAAUAUUAAAUAAAUUUUUAUCCAAUUCUAAUUGAAUUAAAUAUGCUCAAUAAAUAACUGGACUAAACUGACUUAAUAAAUAUUAUUCAAAAACUUUAUUUCUCAUAAAAAGAAUUCAACACCAAGCUCAGCGGCCACCACUCAUCCAUGAUAAAAAAAAUCUCUUUGAUCUUGUUAUCUUCUGCCUUGAUCAGCUUCACAAACCUGACAUCCACAAAAGUGUGCGUUGAUCAGCAUUUGCACCCACCACCUCCUAUGCCGCAGAUAGAAGCAGCACCUUUAAUGCUUUUGCUGAUGAUAAAUUAAUUAUAAUCAUUCACCGGUUUAUGUUAGAUACGGAGGAUUUGAAAUGAUGUCUUUCAAAAUUGCUCUUUUAGUUCUUUUGUUUACUUUUUUUUAUUUAGUUCUGAAUUAUGAUAUUGUUUACCUCUCAAAAUACUCAUUGAAAAAAUAUACAGUAAAAAAAUAUAGAGAUGAUGAUGAUUUGGGCCCUAUUCUCAUGCAUGAAAUUGGUAAUCUUUUAUUUGCUAGUUAAUAGAUGGCUCAAUAAAAAAAAAAAAAUCUUUUUUUCAUGAAAUUAUAGAUGGAUCCAUGCUGGUCUGUAAGCUGAGAUGAAGCAUGUUAUUAUUGAAUCCAAUUCUAAAACCUUAAUCAAUUCCGAAAAGAGAGUUAGUUUAUGUUUGAGAACAUAUAUAUAUAUAUAUAUAUAUAUAUAUAUAUAUAUAUAUAUAUAUAUAUAUAUAUAUAUAUAUAUAUAUGAAGAAACUUAAGUGGAUGUGCAGUUGUGGAAUGGUCCAAGUGCUUAGUAAACAAUAGAUGAAAAUUAUAUUUUAAAUAUGUUUUGGUGCUUGAUAAAAUUGUAUUUCAAAAGUUAAUUUAAUGUUAUAUGAUAAAUAUAUCAUUAUAAUAUUUAAAAUAUUUAUUCAAAAUAAAUAAAUAAUUUUUUUAUUUAAAUUAAUAAGUCUCACACACACAGUGUUCAGAUUUUUAUAUCUAUUUUUGGAUAAGAAUUGCCACGGGCGAGUGAUGUACUUGAACGGCUCCCAGCCAUUCAAUUCUACUCGACAAAAGUCACAUCUCUCCCUUUUCCCAUCGUAAUCCUUGUCACUAUAAGUAGAGCGGUCAUAUGAGAGGUUCAGCUUUUGCCACGCGGCACAAUUUCGACCAUGUUUUCUUCGUCUGCCGUGCUCCGUCGUCAUUGGCGGCCACUUGUCUGCGUUAAUCAGUAUGUAGUAUUUAUAUCCGCCAUCUCCCGCCGCAACGAUGAAAGCAGCAGUUCCUCUCAUGGCAUCUGCAACGGACUACGAAGUCGCUGCCUCGCAGCAACAGAGUGACAUAUUUCUCAUCCUUUCUCUCAUCAUCGUCGUCUCUUCUGCCGUCUUCUUAUUGAGAUGGACGAGGAGACAAGGCAGGCCACCCCUGCCUCCGGGACCCGUCGGCCUGCCGCUCCUCGGCAGCCUUCUCUCCCUCGAACCCGACCUGCAUCGCUACUUCGCCCGCCUCGCCCGCGCCUACGGCCCCGACUUCAGCCUCCGUCUCGGGACCAGGCUCUACGUCGUCCUCUCCUCUCCGGCUGCCGUCCGGGAGGUGCUCAAGGACCACGAUGUCAUCUUCGCCAACCGUGAUCCCGCGGCCACCGCCACCGCCGUCCCGGGAACACAGCAUGGUUUGCUCUGGAGCCCCCAUGGCACUCUCUGGAGCACGCUCCGCAAGGUGACCGUGCGGGAGUUCAUCGGCGGCGGCGGUUGCAACGAGGCGGUCCGCUCGCUGCUGCGGCGCGAGGUGCGGCGUGCCAUCGCUCGCCUUCGUGCCCGCGAGGGGGAGCCGGUGGAGGUGUGGGAGCUGGUCUUCUCGACGGCACUCAACGUGUUGACGAGCAUGCUGUGGGGGGGGCUGUCGGAAGACGGCGAUGUGUCAAUGAAGUUCCGGGCGGUGGUGGAGGGAGUCGUCGAGUUGCUGGGGGCACCCAAUGUGUCGGACUUGUUUCCGGUGCUGGCGGCGCUGGAUUUGCAGGGGAUGGGGAGACGGAUGAAGCGGUUGUGGGAUCGUUACGAUGUGCUCUGGAAAAAGUUUGUGGAGGACAGUGGGAGAAGGGGUGAAGAGGAUGAGGGAAAGGGUGGUAAGGCCUUCUUGCAGGUGAUGGUGGAGGUUUUAGAGAGAAGAGAUCAGAAGGACCCACUCACCAUGGAUCAUGUCAAGGCACUGUUUAUGGUAAUGUUUCAUCUUUCCACACCUGCAACUACUGGUAACACAAAUAUUAAAGCAUCUUCCUUGAUGAUCAACAUAGUGUGGCUUUUUUCUUUUUUCUUUUUUCUUUUUUUGCUGAGUCAAUUUUUAUUAUUAUGUUAGCUUAAAAUGUUAAAGUUAAAAUUAAUACUAAUAUAUUUAUUAGAUCCUUAAAAUAAAAAUAAGUAUGCAAGAUAAAUCUUCGUCGUGAAGCGCAUGAAUGAUGUAGCUGAAGGGAAGUAAUUUUCUUGAAAUAUNNNNNNNNNNNNNNNNNNNNAUACCUGUUUCUACGAACAAAUGCAUGGAUGAUAUCAAUUAACUGAAUCCACAGGAACUCAUACUUGGUGGGACGGACACCACUUCGACUACGAUAGAGUGGGCGAUGGCGGAACUGAUGCGCAACCCUGACAUCAUGAGGAAGAUCCAAGACGAGCUCGACGCAGUGGUGGGGAAGGAAAGAGCAGUGGAAGAGUCGGACGUGCCCAAGCUGGAGUACCUUCGUGCAGUCACGAAAGAGACACUCCGGUUACACCCAGUGGCUCCGCUCCUCGUUCCUCGCUCGCCGAGCUCACCUUGCACCGUGGGCGGAUACACCAUUCCCAAGGGCUCCAAGGUCUUCGUAAACGUUUGGAUGAUUCAAAGAGACGCCGCCAUUUGGGGGGAGGAUGCCGUGGAGUUCAGGCCGGAGAGGUUUCUGACAGCUGCAGAUGACAAGUACGGGUUCCGUGGCACUAACUUCGCUUAUCUGCCAUUUGGAUCAGGGAGGAGGAUGUGUGCUGGGAUCUCUCUAGCAGAAAAGAUGGUGACGCACAUGUUGGCUUCCUUCCUGCAUUCCUUUCGCUGGCAACUUCCAGAGGGGGAGAAGCUUGAGCUCGGUGAGAGGUUUGGAAUUGCGUUGACGAAGGCUGAACCACUUGUUCUUGUUCCAACCGCGAGAUUUGAUGAUCCAGAUCUCUAUAGUUAACUCAAAGGGAGAAAUAUUCCAUGUCACGUAAAAUGUUGUAUCUCAAGACUCAUUGUAAUAUUUUGGCUGUUGGCAUCUGAUUCCAUGCAAUCUGCUCAAUUAUCUAUGGUCAGUGUAAUUUUCUCUGUGAAAGUAAACUAUUUAUGAGGUCAUGCAAUUUUUUUCUUUUUCUUAGAAAUUUUUUGUUCUACAGUCAAUCCAAGGUAAUUUUUGUAUAUUAAAUUAGAAUAUUUUAUAUAUGAUUACUAAAUUAGAAUCUUCUAUAGCUUUGUAAAGAGACCCAGUAAUUACUGUCUCUUUGAUUCAUGGAAGAAAGCUUUUUUAAGAUAUUGAUUUAUAAUUAAAUGGGGAUGAUUUAAUUAUAUGAUGUAACUAACUUAAUGUUUAUAUUGAUUUCAGGAUUUUUAGAGUCUAAUUUGACAUUAAAAACCUCCUCAGAUUUCCUUUUGAAAAUAAUAAAAAUAAUAUAUUUAUCUUUCUAAUUUGAGUUGAAGUGAACAUAUCUCAAAUGAUGAUUACAUAUGAUUUAUGGUUACACAUAUUUUUACAUCUACCUUAAGACAAACUAUUUAUUGUAGGGUAUAUUGAAACUAUUGGUUUUGGAAUAGGAUAAACUAUUGGUUGUUAGAAUAGCAAAUGGCCAAUUUGCUAUUCUAACAAACAAAUAAACAUAUAUUUAUUUUAAAUAUAAAAAAUUUAUCCUUUCCAAAAAUUAAAUAAUAACUAGUUGGGGUUAUUUUGGGAAAAGAAAUCCUAUAAAAAUCUAUAAAUACCUCCAAACUUCUCAGUCUUCCUCACACCAAUUCAUCAAGCAAUCAUAACUCUCUUUAAUUGUAAUAUUCUUUGCAAUGGCAAUUUCUCCCUCUCCUAAGCUCUACCUCAAAUUCAAUAACAAGUGAAAGUUCAAUGCAUCAAACCUCAACAUUUAUGAUCGAGGAUAAUUUCGAAGGUCUGAUUGUACUUACUCAAGAGAGCUUACAUUUCACUAUAAAAUAAGAGGAAAAGGAUCCAAAAUUAUGAUGGCUUGUUUUAUUUAGGUCAAGAUGUGAGUUGAUUGUGAUGAUAAGUCGACUUUGUAAUACGUAGAUAUAUACUUGAUCUUAUAUUAGAAUUACACACUUGUGAUAUCUAUGGAAUGUCAUUGAGAACAUUAUCAUUUGCUUAGCUUCUUUUGAUGAAUUUUAAGUUAUACAUGUAUUUUAAAAAAAAUUAUCCGACUAAUUGUUUAGCGAACUUUUGGUACGAUUAAUAGUGUGAAUCUAUUUUAGAGGGAAGAUUAUGCAUGAAAAAGAAUAUAGUAGACUUGAUAUGGACAUGCAACCUACCAUAUCUUUUCAAGGGUGGACGUGAUUAUGAGCUGUCACCAUGGCUUAUCAUGUACACAUCGACUCUUGCAUUUGAUUUGAUAGCCGCACGAAGAAAAAUCUUAGCAACGUAAGCAAUUUGUCAUAAAAAUAAGAUUAUUUUUAUAAUUAAAAUUCUCUAAUAUCCUAGUUCUUAAAUUAAAAAUUUUAUAUUAAAAUUUUUAUAAUUAGACCUAUCUCGAUCCUUAAACUUAAAAAAUUUACAUUAAAAUUUCUAUGAUUAUGAAAGUAAAAUAUUUAACCUCAUUUAUCUUAACGUUGUCGGUUUUAUCGACGAAAGAUAUAAAUUGAGUCAAAAUUAUUUUUUUGUCCAUCGUUUUUGUGUCACUCAUGACAUUGAUAAAGUCGAUCAUUGUAUCAUUCUUGCUUACCACCAUCACAAUGACCACCUACAAUGUCAUCGUCCGCUACUAUCAUUAAACUUAUCUUUUUGUCUAUCAUUUUAUGUUAUUUAUGCAUGUGUUGUCAUACGCUAUAUUUUCCAUCAGUAAAACCAACAAUGUUAGAAUAAAUGAGAUUAAAUAUUUCACUUUCACACCUAUAGAGAUUUCAAUAUAAUUUUUUAAAUUUAAGUACCUAAAAAGUUUAAUUAUAGAGAUUUUAAUAUAUAUUUUUUAAAUAUAAUGAUCGAUAUACUAAAGAAGUCUAAUCGAAUUAAAAAUAAUAUUAGUGGUUUAUAAUGAUGUUUAAUCUUCCUUUACAUCGAUGGUCACACCAUAAUUUACAUCGAAGAGCUAUAAUAAGUUGAUGUAUUAGUUACCACAUGGAUGAGAAAUAAUAUUAAAUUUGAAAGGUGAUGGUUCAAACUUAAUAAAUUAAUUAUUUUAUUAAGUAGAACGUUAUAAGUUUUUAAGUGAGUAAGAUUAAAUAAUUGAUUCAUGAUAAUUAGAACGAUGAUCACUAUUUUAUAUUUGUGGCACCGACUCAAUAGAUUAAUAGAAUAGUUAUUCCAUUAGAGCCACACGAUCCAACAUGCAAAACUGAUAUGAUAAUUAUUGGGUCCAUCGAUUCGUCCAUGAGCUGUUCGACAAAAGGAACAGAUCGGAUUGUGCUGUCAACUUGAAUUCACGUGUUAGCUCUGUGUCCGAUGAUUCAGGUUGGAUAAAUUAAUCCAAGUAUGCAUGCAAUCCAUGAGAUGGAAUCACAGCCUGGCGAUGUGCUUGGACUGUUCCCAGACUCAUCUUUCAACUCUUCGACACAGUAACAAUCGAAUCCUAUUGAUUGCACCGUCAACUUCUAUCUCCUUCUGGUUCAAACCCACGCUUUUCAGGGUUCACAUUGGCCAAAUCAAAGUUUAGAUAAGACUCAUAUUAUUCAAUGACAUGAUUGAGGGCUGCUGUUCUUUCCUGGUGCUUUGGUUUCCUGUGCUGAUGGGUCAAACUUGAUCGUCCAUCGAACGGGGACUAAAAAGACGAGCUCCUUUUUUGUCUUGAGCAUUGAUAUCUAUCUCAUGCUCGAAGAACACUUUGAUGAAACUGAAGACAGCGGCUUUGAAGGAUUGUUGAUCUCCAAGUAAGGGUGUUAAGAAAAUUUACAGUUAUACCGAACAUUAUGUAGAGUGUUUUGUGAGUGAGAGAAUAUAUUUCUGUGUGAAAGAGUUGUUCCAGCAUCCUCUUCUUCUUAUCUUAUGAGAAGGUAAUUUUCAUAAGAACAUCAUCAGCAUUAUUCUCCGUUUUGAUUUGAUAGUAUUUAGAUGAGUUGGAGAGAGCAGAUUAACUUCUUUCAAUACCAUCUCUCAUGCUAACGUAAUUUGUUUAGGCACCAUAGUGUUUUUUUAUUUAUCUUAUCCUCCAUCGACACAAAAAUCCUUUUAUUUUUCGACUUAUGUUGACUCGGAUAGUAGCCACCUAUCAAAUACUUGAAUAAAUACUAAAUUAUUUUGAUAGGAGAGAUGGAUUCUUCAAAGUGCAACCUAAUUCACGAGUGUGGAUUCUUCUCUUAUGAGUAAUAUAUAAUAUGAAUAAUUAGAAGAAUCCUUUGUAUCUUGGAAUCUUAUCAUAAUUAUUUUUUUUAUUGAUCGAUAAUAAUCAUCAAAUUUUAAUUAAAUUUAUAAUACAACUUAUAUAAUUAAAUAGUACGACAUAAUUUAACAAUACUAUGAUCGAAUUCUCCUCCGUAUCUAACAUUACAUUAUUUUAAUGUUGAUGUUCAUAUGUUUUUUAUCUUUCGACUGUUCCACAAGGAAACAAAAUCUAAUCCUUCUAUUCAAGCCAUGCGUUUCACGUUCAUCGUAGACAAACCUAAUCGUAUUCGAUGAAAUGAAUGGUUCACAUUCUAACGUGGCUACUGCUCUUCUAUCCUGUGCUCUCUAUAAACAGCUCCAACGUCUGAGCUAAAUGGCACUCGACACCAACUCUCCAUUCUCCACCCUCGGCGUCGUAGAGAAGAGCAGAGAUUCGAGAUGAAGCUCGCCGUUCCUCUUCUCCUCCUUUCUGUCAUCUCUGCUGCCUUGUUCGCGGUCUCGGCCGCGGUGACGAAGGUCCCCGCCGUCUACGUCUUCGGCGACUCCACCGCUGACGUCGGCAACAACAACUACCUGUCGGGGACGGAUGCCAAGGCGGACUUCCCCCACUACGGGGUUGACUUCCCGCACCAGACGCCCACCGGACGGUUCAGCAAUGGCUACAACACCAUUGAUUUCUUGGGUGCGUGGUUGACCGAUGCCAUGAUUUGACUUUGGGGCGAUAAUAUUUCCUUUUUUCUUAAGAAAAAUAAGAAUAAGUAAGAUAUUCAUCAUUUUUAUUCACAACUAUAAUUCUACCAAUAUUUAUGAAUUAUGCAUUAAAUCAUUAUCAAUGAUUUAAGGGUGACACUAUAUAAUAAUAAAGUUAUUACUUUGCAACAUGAAAUGUUAGUCACCAAAACAACCUCUCCAAAUGCAAAGAAGUAUAUAAUUAUUUUUUUAUAUUUAAUUUGGGGCAACUUUUUAAAAAAACACUCAUAUUUUGUGGUUUUUUUUAAAAAAGGCACCCCAUUUUUUUUAUUGAGGUAUUUUUUUAAUAAUAUUUAUGAUGUUUUAUUGAGGUAUUAAAAUAUUAUAAAUAUUGUUAAAAAAAUAUUAUAAAUAACAUCAUAUUAUGCCUUUUUUAUCGUGUAGUUCAUUACGAUAUUAUAUUGAUUAAGGUUAAGAGUCUAUUUUGUUCAUUUAUAAUGUUUUCGAGUAGGUCAUGUUUUUAUUAUAGUGGUUAAAAUAUAAUAAUAAUUUUUUUUAUUUUAAUUUAGAUGAUAUUAUUCUUAAACUAUUAUACUUAUUUGAAAUCAUAAUAUGAUAUAUCUAACAAUUUUUAAUAUAUUUUCAUUCUAUUUAGCUUAUUUUUCAAGUAGUUUUUAUAGUGCUCCAUUGUGGUGUUCAUAAACACUAUCAUAGAUUAAAAAAAAUAGUUUAGAUAAAUUUUAUAUUAGAGGUAUUAUUUGAAAAAUAAAAUAAAAUAAGAAUAUCAAUCUUAGCACUUGUGAAGUGAAUCAAUUUGUGUUCAAUGUGGGCAGCAAUUCAUAUGGGGUUCAAAAGAAGCCCACCACCGUAUCUCGCUGUGGUGAACAAAACCCACCCGCUCAUCCUAAGAGGCCGGCGAGGUGUGAGCUUUGCCUCCGGCGGAUCCGGAAUCCUCGACUCCACUGUGAGCUUUCCUCAUCCUCUUUUUCCCUUCUGCAAUGAUGGCCUACCCUAACCCUCCGACCAUCUUCAUCUUCCAGGGCACCACCAUAACCAUGACAAAGCAGAUCCAAGACUUCGCUGCACACGAAUCCAACAUCGCCUCGCGAGUCACCGCGGCAGUAGCCAAGGGACUGCUGUCCAAGUCCGUCCUCCUCAUCAGCUCCGGCGGCAACGACGUCUUCGCCUUCUUCUUCGCCACGGGCGGCAACGCGACCGCCGACCAGACCGAGCAGUUCUACAACGUCAUGAUCACCAACUACACCACACAUCUCAAGGUGAGCUUCCUUCCUCAGCGAGACGAUCGAUGUUGGCUCUGUUGGCUAGCGUGACGAGCUUGCGCUCUUCUUUCAUGGCACAGGCGCUGUACGAUCUGGGAGCGAGGAAGUUCGCGCUCAUCAACGUGCCGCCGGUCGGGUGCUGCCCCAUUUCGCGAGUCAUGCAUCCCUUGGGAGCGUGCCUCGAUGGAUUGAACGCCUUGACCAAGGGCUUCAACGACAGAGUCAGCGUCCUCAUGAAGAAUCUUAGCUCGGAGAUGGAAGGGAUGAAGUACACGAUCGGGAACUCGUACAACGUCGUCAUGAACAUAGUUUCUGACCCCGCAGGAGUCGGUAAGCUCGGAUCGACAUCACAUGUGGCGAAGAGAUGGAUGGGAAGUGGCUAAAUCGUGUACUGAGUGAGUGUUGCUGCUGUUGCUGCAGGUUACAAGGACGUGAGCAGUGCUUGCUGUGGGUCGGGGAAACUGGGGGCAGAGGUCAUGUGCUCGCCCAACACCACCUUCUGCACCAACCGCAACGAGUUCCUGUUCUGGGACAGGAUUCACCCGACGCAAGAGACGUCGGAGAAGGCGGGUUUCGAGUUGUACGGUGGGGCAUCGGAGUACGCCAGUCCUAUCAAUCUGAAGCAGCUGGUGGAGAGUUGAAGAAGGGAAUGGCGUUGAUGUUGUUAGCAGAAGCUAGAUGAUGUAAGAGGGAGGAAUAAGUGCUCUUGCACUUCGUGCUGAGCACGAUGAGAUUGUGGUUUAUGAAUAAGUAGUGAUUCGAAUGGAGGCAUCCUUUCGUUUGCAGAUUGAUCCACUCGCAGGUUGGCAUCAACUCGGUUUCCAAUCUAAUUACAACCUCAUAUAUGACAAGUACAUCAUUAUCGGGACGAAAGAGAGGCAUACGUGUCACUCGAAGGCCCAUUGGUUCUCCCUCCGAACCUCUUCCUCUUCUUCGGGGAUGAAGUCAUUCUUGAUGUUGAAGGUUUUACGGAUCUCCUCGGGCGUCUUCCCCUUGAUCAUGUCGGCCACAGUUUGGCACGUCAAAUCCAGCAGCCCUUUUAUGUUCAGGUAAUUUGCUGCCUGAAUACACCACCAAAUCAUAGAAACAAAGAAGGCCACAUAAUAAGCUUGAUAUGUAUGCCAAAGCAAGCAGUUGCAUAGCAUUAGAACCUGAACACACUGCCCACGUGGGUAACACAAGGUAGAGUAAUAUGAUCAAGGAAACUAUAGAAUCUUCCCUCAAUCUACUCUGAGCAAUUUCCUUGACAUCCAUGCUUUCAAGAGGCACAUAUGGGUAAUCGUAACAACAAAGCAAACUCAACGUGAAGGACAGACGCUUCAACAAGGGGAUCAAUGCCAAACUCACAGCAUGGGUGAUCUGUUUCCAAUUUUCUUAUUAAGCAUGUAAACUAUCGCAUUGGAGAUACAUUAAAAAAUGCUCAAACUCAUUCUCCGUUUAAAAAUUUUUAUACUAAUUCUACUUUUUAUCUCAAAUUAAACCAAAAUAUAUUGAUGAAACUCUAAAAGAUGAUUCAUGGGUUUUUACAGGAAUUAAAUUAAUUUAGGAAAAAUGAGGUGUGGAAGCUUGUCCCUAGACCUAGUGACAAUCUUGUAAUUGACAUUAAAUGAGUCUUUAGAAAUAAGCAAGAUGAAUUUGGUAUCGUGGUUCAAAACAAGGCUAGCUUAAUGGUCAAAGAUCUCAAUCAAGAAGAAUGUAUCGAUUAUGAAAAAACAUUCGCUCCGACGACGAGAUUAGAAGCUAUAAGGAUACUCCUUGCCUAUGUUAGUUAUAAUAAUUUUAAGUUAUUUCAAAUUAGUGUUAAAAGUAUUUUUCUUAAUUGUUUUAUUUUCGAAGAAAUUUAUGUUGAACAACUAUCUGGUUUUAAAAAUAUUUAUUUUCCAAAUCAUGUUUAUAAGUUAUCUAAGACUCUUUCUGGAUCGAAACAAGCCCCAAGGGAUUAGUACGAGAAACUUAGUUCAUUUCUUGUUAAGAAUAAUUUUUUAAAAGACAAGGUUGAUACCACAUUAUUUAUUAAAUAUUUAAAAAAUAAUUUUUUUAUAGUUUAAAUUUAUAUUGAUGAUAUCAUUUUUGGUUUUCCAAAUGAAUCUUUACGUGAUUCUUUUGCCAAUAGUAUGAGCCAAGAAUUCGAUAGGAGUUUAAUAGGUGAAUUAACUUUUUUUCUUAGGAUUACAAAUUAAGUAACUUAGUGAUGAAAUAUUUGUUAGUCAAACUAAGUAUGCUUUAGAUAUAUUAAAAUUAUUUAAUAUGGAUAGUGCUAAGGCUAUUAAUACACCAAUGAGCACUUUUACAAAAUUAUAUAUGGACAUUGAUGGAUAAUGUUUUGAUAAAAAACUUAUAUGGGUAUGAUAGAUAGUUUACUAUACCUCGCAAGACUAGACCGGAUAUUAUAUUUAGUGUUGGAUUUUGUAUUAGAUUUUAAUCUAAUCACAAGUAAACUCACUUAAAAGUUGUUAAAAGGAUUUUUAGAUACUUAAAAAGAACUCCUAAAUUAAGUUAGUUUUAGGUGAAACCUCAUUAACUCAAUUCAGAGCCAAUUGGGCCUGAAUCAUGGCUUAAUUGGGCCUACUAUUUGGCUCAUUCAGUGACCUAGAGCUAGGUCAGAUGGUGGCACCGCUAGGGCUGGCGGUGGAACCGCUUGAGCCUCAGCCUCCCAAGUAGUAUCUAGGCGGUGGUAUCACCCAAACAUAAUCUUCUAGGCUAUGUCAAGCAGUGGUACCACCCAAUGUCAGUCUGACAGGCGGUGGUACCACCUAGUGUUAGACUGACAGGUAGUGAUAUCGUUAGUUGUUAGUCUGGCAGGCGGUAGUACCACCUAGUACUGGCGAUGGUACUACCAAUAUCCUGAAAACCCAGGAUGAGAUCGUUUUAGUUCUAAAUUUGAAUCUAUUUGGAGCUUAUAAAUACCCCACUCUUUUCUGCUUGAGGAUGCAUGAAAAAAAAACAAAAAGCCUUAAAAAAGUGCUAAUUGUCCUCCUCCUCCUCCUUACGUUUUGUGAUCAUUCUAAGAGAGGUGUGAGACUUGUAAACGUUAUCUCAUAAAUAUGUGAAAAGAAGAAAGAGUUGUAAGAGAGUAGUUGGUCUUUGCCCAUGAAAAGAAUACCGUUAGUGAAUGCCGGUGGCCUUGACAGAAGAGAAAUCGGGAGUGGACGUAGGUUACGACGAUUGAACUACCAUAAACUUGGUUUCUAUUUAUAUUUAUCAUUUUCUGCUAUUACUUUCUAAGUUAAUUUCUUAAUUCACUUACUUUAAAUAAAGCACAUUUCCGAUACAAUUUUUCAAUCGAACGAAAAUUUUUCAAACUGUCAAAGUUUUACGAAAGCACUAAUUCAUCCCCCCUACACCAACCCCCCCCCCCCCCCCCCCCCCCCUCUCCCCUAGUGUCAAAACGAUCCUAACAUAAGCUACCCACGCAUAAAGGUAUAAUUCCCAAGAUAGGAAAAUGGAGAUUCGACCAGUUGGAUCUCUAGGGCCUAAAUUUUUUUUGUUUUCAUAGAACUCCAAAAGAAUCCAAGGUGGAAAUAGCUUCAAUCCAACUAAAUGAAGAUGCAAUCCAAUGAUAUGAUUGAUACAAAACAUACCACAAGGUCUCAUCGUGGGAACAAUUCAAGAGAGGGCUUCUCAUUCACUUUAGACCAUUUGAAUAUGAGAAUGUUGAUGGCUAGCUCACUAAAAUUCAUCAGAUUUCUACGGUGCUAGAAUAUCAUAAUAAAUUUGAAUGAUUGUUAAAUCAAGCCAAAGACUAAUCUAAACAACAACUGAUUGUGAAAUUUUUUUGUUUUCACAUAAUUCCAAAAGAAUUUAAGGUGAAAAUAGCUUCAAUCCAACUAAAUGGAGAUGCAAUCUAAUGGUAUGAUUGGUACAAAACAUACCACGAGGUCUCAUCGUGGGAACAAUUCAAGAGAGGGCUUCUCGUUCACUUUAAACCAUUUAAAUAUGAGAAUAUUGAUGGGUAGCUCGCUAAAAUUCAUCAGAUUUCUACAGUGCUAGAAUAUUAGAGCAAAUUUGAAUGAUUGUUAAAUCAAGCCAAAGAUUAAUCUGAACAACAACUGAUGGAAAUAUUUAUUGAAGAACUUAAUCCAGAUAUUUAGUAUGAAGUCAAAGCUCGCCAACCCUAUAUUAUAACAGUCGCAGCCUCAUUUACACAUUUAUAUGAUGAAAAAAUCAGUAGGGAGAAUCGUCGAAACAUAAAUGGCAAUAAAUAGAUGAUCAACAAGCCAUCCACCCUAUCUAUUCCUAAUCGAAACCCUAAUCUCUGAAGACUAACCCGAGAAGAACUUAAGGAAAGAUCAGUGAAGGAUUUAUGCUAGCAUUGUGAUGAAAAUGUGAGUAAGGAGCACUGAUGUAAACAAGGGCAACUUUUGAUGAUUAAACCAAUUGAGGAGGAACCAAAAGCUGACAAUGUAGACUUCGAUCAUGAAGGUGUGGAUUCUAAUAAAUAUGUAGGACCUAUCAUACAUAUAGUGUAUGCACUGACCGGUUAUUCUGACUCACAAACUAUGAAAAUUGAAAAAACUUUGGAACAUCAGUCUAUUAUAGUUUUGAUUGAUAUUGAUAGCACUAAAAAUUUUAUAGAUAGUAAAGUUGUUGAUCGAUUGGCCUACCAUAUUGAAGGUUGUGGCAAAUUUGAAGUAAAGAUCGUCAAUAGAUGGAUUUCAACUUCUGAUAGCAGGUGUUUGAAGAUAAAAUCGAUUAUACAAGGCUAAGAGUUGCUUGUAGAUUAUUUUUGCUACCCUAGGAAGACUUCGAAGUGGUGUUUGGAAUUAAAUGGCUAUCAACCCUAGGUGAUGUUUCUUAGAAUUUUUCUAAACUAAUCAUGAAGUUUUUUUUAUUAAUGGAAGGUCUGUGAUCCUUAAGGAAAGAUGUGAAAGUAAGGUCACAACUGCCACUAGCCAUCGGAUGGAGAUGAUUCUUCAUAAGAUUACUACACUAGAAAGCUACCUCAUUGCUUACACUAUCAAAAAAGUGGAGACCCUAGUUACUUGAUUAAAGAGUUGUGAUGCGCUGCAGUUGACCUGUAACUGAAGUGCUGAGAGUUUCUCUUUAUUGAAGGGGAAGAAAUUAUAAGGAUUUAUUUUAUUUUCUAAGCUUUGAAUAAUAUUUUAUUGAAUUUAUCUAGAGUUGGAUAGGAGUUUAUUUAAUAUUUAUUUAUUUAUUAAGAAUUAUGAUGGACUAUAAAUAUGAAUGUAUCUGUUUCUUUUUAUCUAUCUAUGAAAUAUUAUUUCAGUCUUUUGACAAACCUUAUGAGGUCAAUCCCUUGAAGUGAUCAUCCCUUUUCUUUUCCUUCGUUGAAUAAUGAAAAAAUACCACCUUAGGUGUUAUUUUCUCAUUUGCAAUCAUAGCCUUUUACCCAAAUCAAGAUGUGAGUUUAUUGUAAUGAUAGGUCGACUUUGUAAUAUGUAGAUAAAUAAUUAAUCUUAUAUAGACUUAAUCAUGGAUCGGUUUGAAUUGAUCUAAGUUUUGGAAACUGGAAUAAUCAAUUCCAAAAUUAUCGAUUUGAUGAUUUUUUUUUAAUAUAGAUGGAUUGGUAAACUGUUGGGCUCAAAUGGUUGGGCCCAACGGUUUGCUCCUGGCCUAACGAUAAUGACCAUAUUUAGGAGUAUUUUAAUUAUUUUAUAAAUAAAAAUAUAAAAAGGUUUGAAAAAAAAGAUUUGCCCUUUCCAACAACCACAUAUAGUUUUAAAGGUAUUUAAAAAAAUUAAAACUCUAUAAAUACCCUUCAAAUCUCUUAUAUUUUCUCACACCUUGAUCAUACACUCAUUCAAGUUUGAGCGCUCUUAAGCUCUCUUUUAAACUCUUUUUGUUAUUUUCUUGAUUCCAUGACAAGUGAAAAUCACAACUUCACAACCAAGGAGCCUUUCAAAAAUACAAUCAUAAUAACUCAAGAAAGCAACACUUGACUCAGACAUCAUUAAUAUUAAUGACCAAAAUCAAGUCAGACAUAUUCAAUAUAUACUUCAAGAAAAUUCUAAAUGCUAAUAUCUCAUUCUAUGUAGUAUGCAAUUAGUGUACUUAAGUUUUCAAGUUCAAAAAAAGAGGAGGAUAUAGAACAUUCCAAAAGCAUAUUGAAAAAAAACAUCAAAUGCAAACUAGUACGAAGAGAAGUCAAAUUUAAAUUUUUGGAUAGCUUACUUUUACCAUUUUUUUAAUUUUUCUGUUGAAAAAAAUCAUGAAGCAUUAACUAGAUUAGUCAUAGUUGAACAUUUAUCUUUCAAUUAUGGUAAAAAAAAUAAAUUUAUUUAUUAUUGUUAAGAGGUUUUAAAUCCCACCACAUAAGUUCCUCGUACCACUAUUACUCACAAAUUAUAUAAUCUUUAUAAAAAAAUUUCGAGCUUAGGAUGAUUAUGUUUUCAUUUGUACUUAUAUUUAGAGUGAUCACUAGCAAAUGCAUUCCUACAUGCAAGUCACUUGUUAUUGGAUAGGUAAUGAUUGGAUCAUGUAAAAACAUAUUAUUGCUUUUAGAGUUUUCGAAGAACGACAGAUAACCAAUAAUAUUUAUACAAUGAUAAAAAUAAUUUUCAAAGAAAUAUUAUUUGAUUUUUAAAAUUUUUCAAUUGGUUUUGAUAAUCAGUUGACAAAUAUAGUUUUUAUUCUAGAAUUAUAAGUAGUUUGUCAACCUGCUUUUGAUGGUAUCUUUUUCCAUGUUAAAUGUGUUUAUCAUAUUUUGAAUUCAUGUGUACAAGAUGGACUUAGAUCUUUUGAAAUUUUUCUUUCGCAAUGCAUUCUUGUGGGGUCAUCCAUAAUUAAUGAAAGAAUGAGACAGAUUUUAUAAUUUAAAUGACAAAAGACCCAAAAAAUUUCAUUGAACUAUUCGUACUCGAUGAAAUUCCAUAUAUGAGUUGUCAAAGAAUCUUUUGAAUAUAAAGAACUAUUAUGUAUUUUCAUUGAAAAUAAUAUUAGAUAAGUUUGUUUAUAUCAAUAGCAUUGGAAUGUAUGUGAAUUUUUUUAAAAAAAUUUAAAAGUUUUUAAUAAUGUAGUGUUUAUUAUCCUAUUACAUAUAUUUUUAGUUGUUUGUAUUAAUAUUAUUGAUGUAUUAGAAGAAUAUAAAAAUGAUGAUUAUUUAAUAAUAAUAAUGACUAUAAAAUUAAAAUGGAUAAAUUAUUUUCUUAAAGUUUCAGUUAGUUGCAUGUGUUUUUUAUUCUCGUAUUAGAUUAGAUGGGUUAGGUGAUUAUUUAUCAAUUUAUUAUGAAAGUUUAAGAGUAGAAAUUAAUAUUUGUAAUCAAAUUAGAGAUAUUAAAAAAUUAGUCAAUAACUUAUAUAUGACCAUUAUAGUGCUAAUUAUAGUAAAGAACAAGUUAGUAGGGGUAGUAAGACUUUAAGUGAGAAAAAAUAUUAGUAUAAAUAUUAAAAAAAUCAAGGGGAUCCUAAGCUUGAACUUGACCUUGAUAUGUAUCUAAUUUCUUUUGAGUUUAGUGAAAGUACUUCAGGUAUAGAGUUUUUUAUUUUAGAAUAGUGGGUGCAAUAUUUUCAAUCUUGAUAAAAAUCGCAAGACAAAUACUAGAGACUCUCGUGUCAAUAGUAAUUGUCGAAUAAACUAGAUCAAGCAUGACCUCCGAAUCAAUAGAAGCUCAAGCAUGCCUUCAUAAUUGGAUAAAGGCGAUGAAAUAAAAACAAGAUAUCGUUUACGAAUAAAAUCAUUUCCUAUUCAACAUAUAAAUCAAAGGGAUUCUCAGAGCUAUAAUGUUUGACAAUGAUAAUAAUUAUAAUUAAAUAUUUAUAAUUUUACUUAAUUUAUAAAAAAAUUUGUUAUGUCAUUACAAAUUUACACUAAUUAUGUCAUUAUGGAUGUACAUCAUUUUUUAAAUUUAAAAAUAAAUUUAUGUUUUAUAUUAUGUUUUUUUCAAAUAAUAUUAAAAAAUUAUCCAUUCAAACAAGAAUUGAAACCAAAACUGUUGUUUCGAUUUCAAUUCUAGUUUUUGCUAUACUGAAACGGGUAGCUUCGGAUCUGAAAUCGAUGAUUUUGAAACUAUGAUUAGGUCUAGUCUGAAAGCACCGAGAGAUAUUUUGAAUAUAAAAAUUAUACGUGUGAAAUAAAAUAUUAAGGUGGAGCAAAAAAUCUUCUUAUGUUACUAAUUAGAUUAAAGAAAAUUAAGCUUAAAUAGGUCUAGGUUACCAUUAAUGAGCCUGAGAUCUUAGGUUGUGGUUGUGUUUAAUGUCCAAGUAUAAUACUCAAGACUCAAUUAACAAGAGAGAAUCUACAUGACAUCAAAAUUGGCAUGAUCUUGGUGAAACAGAGAAACAUGUUUGAUCCUGCAGAACUGAUAUUGUAAAUGGUAAUUCACAAUAAGGAUUGCAGAAGUAACUUUAAUCGGUAGGAAAUUGAUGGCAUAUCGAAAUAUUGAUCCACUUUUAGAAGAACGGACUGAAGUGUUAGUACGGUGCUUUAGUUUUUCGAGUAUCUUUCUUUAAUCAAGAUUUGAUGGGAAUGAUUUUUAGUUGUGAGAAAUUAGCAUAAUAAUUUUCGAUGUUGGCUAUUUAAGACACUAAUAAAAGAUUAGACAUAAGACUUGAUUUAGUCAAUUUAUCUACAAACCCCUAAUACUAAAUUUAUCCCUUUUUCUAUGAAUUAAUAAUGAUAUCCUUAUUUAUUAUAGACUAUAAAAUUAUCUUUACGAAUGGAAUUUUUUUUAUUCGAUUCAGACGGAUACAAUCUUUUCUCUCUCUCUCUCUUAUCCCUAUCCUUCGUUGUUUAGACUAUGAUUCAGUCCAUUCACAAUAUUAGAAUUAUGAUAUCUAUGGAAUGUGAUUGAGAACAUUAUCAUUUGCUUAGCUUCUUUUGAUGAAUUUUAAAUUAUACAUAUAUUUCAAAAAAAAAAUUAUCCGACUAAUUGCUACGAUUAAUAGUGUGAAUCUAUUUUAGAGGGAAGAUUAUGCGUGAAAAAGAAUAUGGUAGACUUGAUAUGGACAUGCAACCUACCAUAUCUUUUCAAGUGUGGACGUGAUUAUGAGCUUUGUCACCAUGGCUUUUCAUGUACACAUCGACUCUUGCAUUUGAUUUGCUACCCGCACGAAGAAAGAUCUUAGCAACUUAAGCAAUUUGUCAUAAAAAUAAGAUUAUUUUUAUAAUUAAAAUUCUCUAAUAUCCUAGUUCUUAAAUUUAAAAUUUUAUAUAUUUUUUUUAUAAUUAGACCUCUUUAGUAUCUCGGUCCCUAAACUUAAAAAAUUUAUAUUAAAAUCUCUAUGAUUAUGAAAGUAAAAUUUUUAACAUCAUUUACCCUAACGUCGUCGUCUUUAUCAACGAAAGAUAUAUAUUGAGUCAAAAUUAUCUUUUUGUCAAUCGUUUUUGUGUCAUUCAUGACAUCGAUAAAGUCGACCGCUGCAUCGUUCUCACCUAUCACCAUCACAAUAAUUACCCACAAUGUCAUCGUCUGCUACUAUCAUUAAACUUAUCUUUUUGUCUAUUUAUGCAUGUAUUGUCACACACUAUAUUUUCCAUUAGUAAAGCCCGACAAUGUUAGAAUAAAUGAGGUUAAAUUAUUCACUUCCAUAUCUAUAGAGAUUUCAAUAUAAUUUUUUAAAGUUUAAGUACCUAAAAAUUAUAAUUAUAGAGGUUUUAAUAUAAUAAUCGAUAUACUAAAGAAGUCUAACCGAAUUAAAAAUAAUACCAGUGGUUUAUAACGAUGUUUAAUCUUCCUUUACAUCGAUGGUCACAUCAUAAUUUAGUGUCUGUCACGCACAUGAAAGAGAAGAUAGAUGAGCCGACUAUUAUAAAUUGAAGUAUUUUAAAUCGAUGAAUUGAUGUUGAGCCCAUUCUACAAGACUAUUUCGAUAUUUAUAUCAGUGAAAUUUGAUAUGAGAAUUAGAAAGUGUUUCAAAUUAAGGAUUAGAGAGUCAAAGAUAUUUUCUUCCGCAUUGAUGUCAUCAAUUAAAUUCGAUGUAACAAGUGUCAAAAUGAUCUCCACGCAUGCCGACGUGAGUGACUGACGGUGAAGGAAUUGGCUCCAUGAUUGUGGAGGCGAGUAAAGCCUCAAAUCUGUCAUACAUUUAAACCUCGUCUCCUCGGGAAGAAGGCUGUGUGCUUCUCUACUUAAUUCUUAUCCAUCUCCAAAGCACUUCAACGUGUGGCCCUAAUAAUUAAACCCUCCUCUAUGGCUGCCACCUUCCCUGCAAGAUCACGGGGAAAGUAAUAGAAUAGUUAUUCCAUUAGAGCCGGAUCGUGUCGGUCCAACAUGUAAAACUGAUAUGAUAAUUAUUGGGUCCAUGGAUUCGUCCAUGAGCUGUUCGACAAAAGGAACAAAUCGGAUUGUGCUGUCAACUUAAAUUCACGUGUUAGCUCUGUGUUCAAUGAUUCAGGUUGGACAAAUUAAUCCAAGUAUGUAUGCAAUCCAUGAGAUGGAAUCACAGCCUGGAGAUGUGCUUGGACUGUUCCCAGACUCAUGUUUCAACUGUUCUACACAGUAACAAUCGAAUCCUAUUGAUUGCACCGUCAACUUUUAUCUCCUUCUGGUCCAAACCCACGCUUUUCAGGGUUCACAUUGGCCAAAUCAAAGUUUAGAUAUAUAUAUAUAAUUCAAUGACAUGAUUGAGGGCUGCUAUUCUUUUCUCGUGCUUUGGUUUCCUGUGCUGAUGGGUCAAACUUGAUCGUCCAUCUAACGCGGACUAAAAAGACAAGCUCCUUUUUUGUCUUGAGCAUUGAUAUCUAUCGCAUGCUCGAAGAACACUUGAUGAAACUGAAGACAGCGGCUUUGAAGGAUUGUUGAUCUCCAAGUAAGGGUGUUAAGAAAAUUUAUAGAUAUACCGUACAUUAUGUAGAGUCUUUUGUGAGUGAGAUAAUAUAUUUCUGUGUGAAAGAGUUGUUCCAGCAUCCUCUUCUUCUUAUCAUAUGAGAAGAUAAUUCUCAGAAGAACAUCAGCAGCAUUAUUCUCCGUUUUGAUUUGAUAGUAUUUAGAUGAGUUGGAGAGAGCAGAUUAAUUUGAUAGUAUUUAGAUAAGAUGAUUUGAUAGUAUUUAGAUGAUUUGAUAGUAUUUAGAUGAUUUGAUAUCAUGCUAACCUAAUUUGUUUAAGCACCAUAGUGUUCUUUGAUUUAUCUUAUCUUCCAUCGAGACUAAAAUCCUUUUAUCUUUCGACUUAUGUUGACUCGGAUAGAAUCAACUUAUUAAAUAUUUGAAUAAAUAUUAAAUUAUUUUGAUAAAAGAGAUGAAUUCUUCGAAGUUCAACCAAAUUCACUAGUGUCGAUUCUUCUCCCACACUUUUUGUGUAAGUAUAAAAAUAUAUAAUUAUGCUAUUAUUAUACAAAAAGUUUUGAUAUCAGAAACUGAAAUUAAAUAAUAAUAUAUCAUAUUUAUAAUAUAUACAUUUUGAUACUAUCAAGAAUGUUUUUAUCUAAUCUAUAGGUACAUUGACAGAUUCAAAAAUCAAUUUUCAAAAAGUUGAUACUACUACAAGUGAUAGAUUAGGGAAUAAGAAAAUUAUAAAUAUCUAUAAUCUCAAUGAUUGAUUGAGUUUUCGUAAGAGUUCUUAUCAUUUUAUAGACAAAAAUAAAAAAAUCUGGUAUGAAUAAUUAGAAGAGUCCUUUGUGAUCUUCCAAUCUUAUCAUAAUUAUAUUUUUCUUUUUAUUGAUAGAUAAUAAUCAUCAAACUCUAAUUAAAUUUAUAAAACAUCUUAUAUAAUUAAACAAUACCAUAUAAUUUAAUAAUGGUAGGAUGAAUUUCUUCUCCAUAUCUAACAAUACAUUAUUUUAAUGUUGAUGUUCAUGUUUUUUUUUAUCUUUCGACUGUUCCACAAGGAAACAAAUUCUAAUCAUUCUAUUCAAGCCACGCGUUUCACGUUCACCGUAGACAAAUCUAAUCGUAUUAAUAUAAUCCAUGAAAUGAAUGGUUCAGAGUCUAACGUGGCUGCUGCUCUUCCUUCCUGUGCUCUCUAUAAACAGCUCCAACUUCUGAGCUAAAUGGCACUCGACACCAACUCUCCAUUCUCCACCCUCGGCGUAGUAGAGAAGAGCAGAGAUUCGAGAUGAAGCUCGCCGUUCCUCUUCUCCUCCUUGCUGUCAUCUCUGCUGCCUUGUCCGCGGUCUCGGCCGCGCUGCCGAAGGUCCCCGCCGUCUACGUCUUCGGCGACUCCACCGCCGACGUCGGCAACAACAACUACCUGCCGGGGAAGGAUGCCAAGGCGGACUUCCCCCACUACGGCGUCGACUUCCCGCACCAGACUCCCACCGGACGGUUCAGCAAUGGCUACAACACCAUUGAUUUCUUAGGUGCGUGGUUGACUGGUGUCAUGAUUUGAUUUUUGGGGCGAUAAUAUUUCCUUUUUCUUAAAAAAAAAUAAGAAGAAGUAAGAGAUUCAUCAUUUUUUUUCACAUCUAUAAUUCUACCAAUAUUUAUUAAUUAUGCAUUAAAUCAUUAUCAAUGAUUUAAGGGUGACACUGUAUAAUAAUAAAGUUAUUACUUUGCAACAUGAAAUGUUAGUCACCAAAACAACCUCUCCAAAUGCAAAGAAGCAUAUAAUUAUUUUUUAUAUUUAAUUUGGGGCAGCUUUUUUUAAAAAAAUUCAUAUUUUGGGUUUUUUUUAUUGAGGUAUUUUUUAAUAAUAUUUAUGAUGUUUUAUUGAGGUAUUAAAAUAUUAUAAAGAUUGUUAAAAAAAUUAUAAAUAACAUCAUAUUAUGCCUUUUUUAUUGUCGUUGCUCGUAGUUCAUUACGAUAUUAUAUUUUUUAGCUUAUAGUUUAUUUGAUUGAGGUUAAGAUUCUAUUUUGUUCAUUUAUAAUGUUUUUAAGUAGGCCGUGUUUUUAUUAUGGUGAUUAAAACAUAAUAAUAACUUAAUUUUUUAUUUGAAUUUAGAUGAUAUUAUUAUUAAACUAUUAUACUUAUUUGAAUCAUAAUAUGAUAUAUCUAACAAUUUUUAAUAUAUUUUGAUUAUAUUUAGCUUAUUUUCAAGUAGUUUUUAUAGUUCUUUUAUUGUGGUGUUCAGAAACACUAUCAUAGAUUAAAAAAAAUAGUUUAGAUAAUUUUUAUAUUAGAGGUAUUAUUUGAAAAAAAAAUAAAAUAAGAAUAUCGAUUGAAAAAUAACUCAAAAUAUGAAUAUUUUCUGAAAAAUCGUUCUUUAAUUUACAAUCCAAACUGUUUUUAUAUACUAAUUCAAUAAAGCAGCAACAGAACAUGACUGAUGAAUGAAUGAAUCACGUGAAUCACAUGGUGAUCGGAGCUCCAAUAACUCCAAAAUGCAAACGACCCUAUCCGAGUGAACAGUAAUUCCAAUAAAUCUAUUAUAAUUUGGUGCACAACAAUUCGUAGGACUUGAAUUAACACCAUCAUGUGAUCUAUUAGAAUUUGGGGUUUUUAUCUUAGCACUUGUGAAGGAAGUGAAUCAAUUUGUGUUCAAUGUGGGCAGCAAUUCAUAUGGGGUUCAAAAGAAGCCCACCACCGUAUGUCGCUGUGGUGAACAAACCCCACCCGCUCAUCCUAAGAGGCCGGCGAGGUGUGAGCUUUGCCUCCGGCGGAUCCGGAAUCCUCGACUCCACUGUGAGCUUUCCUCCGCCUCUCAUCAACUCAUCCUUUUCCCUUCUGCAAUGAUGGCCUACCCUAACCCUCCGACCAUCUUCAUCUUCCAGGGCACCACCAUAACUAUGACAAAGCAGAUCCAAGACUUCGCUGCACACGAAUCCAACAUCGCCUCGCGAGUCACCUCGGCAGUAGCCAAGGGACUGCUGUCCAAGUCCGUCUUCCUCAUCAGCUCCGGCGGCAACGACGUCUUCGCCUUCUUCUUCGCCACGGGCGGCAACGCGACCGCCGACCAGACCGAGCAGUUCUACAACGUCAUGAUCACCAACUACACCACACAUCUCAAGGUGAGCUUCCUUCCUCAGCGAGACGAUCGAUGUUGGCUCUGUUGGCUACCGUGACGAGCUUGCGCUCUUCUUUCAUGGCACAGGCGCUGUACGAUCUGGGAGCGAGGAAGUUCGCGCUCAUCAACGUGCCGCCGGUCGGGUGCUGCCCCAUUUCGCGAGUCAGGCAUCCCUUGGGAGCGUGCCUCGAUGGAUUGAACACCUUGACCAAGGGCUUCAACGACAGAGUCAGCGUCCUCGUGAAGAAUCUUAGCUCGGAGAUGGAAGGGAUGAAGUACACGAUCGGGAACUCGUACAACGUCGUCAUGAGCAUAGUUUCUGACCCCGCAGGAGUCGGUAAGCUCGGAUCGACAUCACAUGUGGCGAAGAGAUGGAUGGGAAGUGGCUAAAUCGUGUACUGAGUGAGUGUUGCUGCUGUUGCUGCAGGUUACAAGGACGUGAGCAGUGCUUGCUGUGGGUUGGGGAAACUGGGGGCAGAGGUCAUGUGCUCGCCCAACACCACCUUCUGCACCAACCGCAACGAGUUCCUGUUCUGGGAUAGGAUUCACCCGACACAUGCGACGUCGGAGAAGGCGGGUUUCGCGUUGUACGGUGGGGCAUCGGAGUACGCCAGUCCUAUCAAUCUGAAGCAGCUGGUGGAGAGUUGAAGAAGGGAAUGGCGUUGGUGUUGUUAGCAGAAGCUAGAUGAUGUAAGAGGGUGGAAUAAAUGCUUGCACUUCGUGCUGAGCACGAUGAGGUUGUGGUUUAUGAAUAAGUAGUGAUUCGCAUGGAGGCAUCCUUUCGGUUGCAGAUUGAUCCACUCGCAGGUUGGCAUCAACUCGGUUUCCAAUCUAAUUACAACCUCAUAUAUGACAAGUACAUCAUUAUUGGGACGAAAGAGAGGCAUACGUGUCACUCGAAGGCCCAUUGGUUCUCCCUCCGAACCUCUUCCUCUUCUUCGGGGGUGAAGUCAUUCUUGAUGUUGAAGGUUUUACGGAUCUCCUCCGGCGUCUUCCCCUUGAUCAUGUCGGCCACAGUUUGGCACGUCAAAUCCAGCAGCCCUUUUAUGUUAAGGUAAUUUGCAGCCUGAAUACACCACCAAAUCAUAGAAACAAAAAAGGAAACAUAAUAAGCUUGAUAUGUAUGCCAAAGCAAGCAGUUGCAUAGCAUUGGAACCUGAACACUGUCUGUUCAGGUAGGUAACACAAGGUAGAGCAAUAUGAUCAAGGAAAAUAGAUAAUCUUCCCUCAAUCUAUUCUGAGCAAUACCAAAAUUAUAUAGCAUGGGGGAUCUGUUUCCAAUUAAUCUUAAGCAAGUAGACCGUCUGAGGUUUCAAGCUUCAAUCCCAUGCACAACUCAAUAUCCAGCACACAAUUUCCUAUGGUCAGAGAACUUGUUCUAUGUUUCUACUCAGAAAAGAGUUAGUUUUAGCCCCAAACAAAGGACAUCUGUCCACUGGAUGGUUUAGUCCGUCCGAGAGAAACUGGGAAUGGAACAAGGCUGGAGAUCACCAAGAGGCUACCAGUUGAACCAAAGCGGAGAGAGAGGCAGGACAACAAACAAACAUUUAAGAUAAAAAACUGGCCAGAACCAAAAUUAAUAACGAGCAGAUCUAUGUUUGGAUCAUGGAGUUCCCUUGCUGACUGGGUUUUAGGUUAGGAUAAGAGGAAGGGCAAAUACCAAUGGAAUUUGAUUUGAUUAAUGAAAUUGGAAGAGAAUUGUCCUAUCAGAGCUUAAUUGCAGGAUAACACCAUGUAGCCAAUCCAAAUAGGAAGGACAUUUUGGUUACUUCUACUUGGUGGUGGUGGUGUUAUUCUAUAAAGCAUAACCAAUCCUGUUGCACACUUUUUCUUUGAGAUGAGCAAAACUCACACCAUCAAUUAUAAAACCAGAAGAUGUGCAAAUAUGACGAUCAUCCUUCCAAGAUUAUAUGAUUAAUAUGUUGUUCUCAUAAACUAUCUUAUUAAUUCAACAGACAAGAAUGAAAUGGCCUUAAACAAAAAAUGUCACUAGAAUAAUCAGCUGAUAUUCCAUGUUUUGGCAGCAUAUCCAAUCAGUUUCUGAUAUAGCAUAAAUGAAUAUAAGGUUAAGUCAUGCUACAUUUUGCAGUUAAUGGGUCAUAAUAUUAAGCCUGUUUGGCUACUAUGUCUUCUAUUCAAAUUAAUACUUGUUUUUCUAUUUAAGUAGGAUUUUAACAAUUCUUAGGUCCUAGGGUUGCGUAACCUAGUCAAAAGCCUAUGUCUGAGUUAACAGUCCUAGUUCAUGUAUGACAUGUUUAUUAGCAACCCCAUUUGAAGUCAAAGACCAUCACAGACAUAUAGAAACGAAGUUAGAGGAAAGUAGGUGCUUCAUUGUUGGGGAAAAAAAAAGGUCAAAUGGCAUAUGACAUUGAAAGAGUCGAAGUAAGUCUUUUUAUAGACCAUUUUAGCCUAACUCUUAGUUACAAAUAACUAUUGUUAAUGUCUUACCACAAUUACCUACUAUUUCCUGCAUAGCUAUGAAUUGUUUGAAUCACUCUUUUAAUGCUUCAAUAGUUUUAGUUUUACUAUGUCAAUCUACGUCUGGGUUACCGUGCCAACUUCCUGAGUUUUGUUUUAGUGAAUAUCAGGACUCGUAACACAAAGCUAAUUGAUGGUUAGGUUCUAUGUUUUGCUUUUAGGAGGCUGAGUAGAUAACACAUGUGACCAGUACCAUUUGUAUUAUUUGUUUCUACAAUUGAGCCUAGGAACACCACUCCAAGCAAUUAUUAUAUAGAGGAAGGUAUGCGGACUAUGAGAGGGGAUGGUCCAGAUGAUUUAAAAAACAGAAGAAAUACCUGCAAUAACAAAGAAUGUCUUUAACCCAAAACAAUUAAGAAUCACCCUAUGAUUUAAUUAUUCUCACUUCAGCAGUUUCUUGUUUAUAAAAGACACCCAAAUAUCAAUUAAAAGCCACCUCUCAACUUCUUAUAAAAUGAAGACAUAAGAUUACAUUAAUCUAAGAAUGUAUUUUACCAGAAACCCUUAUUAUUUUGAAAAAUAAAUACAAGACCGGAGACCUCUAAAAUGCCCAAUACUGUUUAACCAUAGUCUAAUAAUUCACUAAUUACAGAUAUGACCAAGAAAUAAUAAAAUGCACUCUAAAGACUAAUGAGUUGAAGCUUAACCUUAAAAAAAGCCUCCUAUUGGUUGGUGCUAGUAAAAUUACUUGACUCAAUUUAACUGUUCUUCACAUCCUAAAGUGCUUAAAUUUUCCACUCAAGUUGUAGAUGCCAGUUGCCAAUAACAGCCAAUCAUCAACUCGCAUGUAACUGCUGAUCUACCGUCAGCCAUCAUCAAUAAGUGGUUGGCAAUCAAUAUCAGUGGUCCAACACUUGCAGAAAUUUGCCACUGGCCAAUGAUCAUCAAAUAAUAAUCUACAAAUGUCAGCAAUCAUCAACUGACAUACCAUCAAUGGAUAGAGAUUAACGGUGACCGUCUUCCAAAAACUAGAAAGCAAUCUACAAUAUCACAUUAUAUCAGUGAUUGGCAGUCACCAACUGAUGAUACAUAAGACGAUCUCCAAUUAUCAACCAACUGCCUCACUAGCAAUCAUAGAGUGGUUAUAGUAUCCAUCAAUCUAUUUAUUGAUUAACAACCAACAACCAGAGAGCAAUCUUAGAUUUUACAUCAGUAAUUACCAAUCACCAACUGAUGAUCUAUAAUAUGUUAACCAAUCAUCAACCAGAAACCUUAGUGAUCAUAGUUUACCAACCACCAGUCUCGCUGUAUCCCUUUGAAACAGAAGGUCAAUGGACUACAGAUGAUCAUCUACCAAUCAGCAACCAACCAACAGUAUAAUGGUGGACUAUGCACAUUGGUGGUCUAGUUAAAGCUGACUGAGACCGAUGAUAUGAUAUAUUGAAAUAGGUAAUCCACUGACAAGCUAAAACAGUGGCCUGUCAACCAACAAUAUAUUGGUUUUAUCAACUAACAGGAUACUGAUAUUCAGCUAUCAUGAUAAAUGGCAUGUCAACCUUUCGGUGACCUACCAGUGACAGCCAGGCCAAUUGAUGACAAACAAUUGAUGAUGAAGCUGCACUCAAUGACCAAUACACUGGAAAAUGCCUGCCAACUAGCAAUAGGUCAACCAUCCCAAGGUCGAUUCCUGCCAACAAUCCAGUGACAGCCAAUCAUCUAUAAGCUUCAAUAUUGAUUGCUGAAGCACAGUAAGCAUACAUCAAAGAGAUAAACAGCAUGUCUAGAAGGAACAAAAAAACCUUCCAAAUUGAUGAUCAUUAGGUUUUUCACUAAAACCUCACAAGUAUGUCAUGUUGUAAUCACAAGCGUUCAUGCCCAAAAAUUCUAAACUUGGUCCAAUUUCCAAGACCCUAUAAAUAACCUAGGUUUAUCAGGCAUUUGCUUCAGAAGAUUAACUCAGUUGAUUCAAAUGCCUUACAAGCAAACCUAAAACAAUGGAAACCACAGAUUGUGCAAUAUCUUACACAACCAAACAAAAGUCAUGCUAAUGUUUACUCAGCAAUAUCUUAUCACCUUAUAAAAAGCAAAGAUUCCCAAUAUAAACAUAGGCAAAAGUCGAAGCAACUUGACACAAGAAUAAACUAUGAAUAAAAAACAGUGCUCCUGUGAUUGGUUAUGCAUGGAUUCUAGGAUGGUUCUCCAUCCCAAGUAGACUAAACAUUACAAAGAUUUGACAAAAGAAAAUGCAAGCUAUUCUGCGGUGUGUCUCCUUCAUGUAGGUGUGAGUUCCAAUAUUGGCUUUAUACUCCUCAUAAACUAAGAUUUAUCUAGGGCAUCUCUGUAGAAAAAGAAAUAUACAAUUUUGCAAAUGUCUCACUGGAGAUUAAAAAAAGGUUACUAGAAUGGCGAAAAAAAGGAAACAUGAGGCCAAAAAAAACAACUAGGAAGCUACUAAGCAGGCUCAUCAUCACCAAACGCCAAUGAAAACACACCAAAGAUGACGAUACCGUAUUGUUAUAUAGUGAAUAUGUAUGAGCUUGUUAAUUACCUUAUUUUGCAAACAUCCAUCAGAUAUCUUACAAAGCUAUACCUAGCAAAAUUAUCCUCUAUCUAUUCAUCAUCAACAAAUACAUCACAUUUACCACCUAAACGUGUAAAUGCAGAACCAAACUAGAUUUAUCACCAAAAAGAUAACAAUAUAAGACGAUGAGAGAAGAGGAAGCAUUCAGAUAUCUCACCAGGAUGAGAUCGAAGAGGGUGGCCUGAUCGACCUUGACGAACUCGGCGUCCCAGGACUUGAUCACGUCGUCGGUGGGCUUGGAGCCAUCAUCGGAGGACUUGGAGGCAGCGGCGGCGGAUGCCUCGACAUGCUUCCUGCAAUACUCGAUAACCUUAGCGAGGAUCGCGGAGGUGACGUUAGGGAGCGGGAUGCCGUUUUCGGCGCAGUCGUCCUCGAUCAUGUGCUUGAUAGUCUGCGACUCCAUGGCCACCGCCUCGUCGACCUCGAACACCUCGCCGUCGGAGCUCUUGAGCAUGAUCGUCUUCGCCAUGGCCACCACAGCCGGGAUCGAACUGAGAGUGGAAAGGGCUCGGGAGGGAACCGAGAUAAGAGGAAGCCCUAGAAGUCAAGAUCAAGACCUACCCCUGCCCGAUCUGGCCGACGAUUCCGCAAUGAUGGGAAACAAUCUUACUGGAAAACGCGUUUCACAACUUGGCUAAACCAACAAUAUUAUUUUUUUUAAAGAAAAAAUAAAAUGACAAAAACGGAAUUCAAAAUUUUUAUCAGUCAAAUGAUAUUUUUUUAUAAAAAAAAAAUUUUAUCGUUAAAAAUACUUUAAUAUUUGCCUUUUUAAUUAUCAAUGUGUUUCUUAAAUUUUAAAUCUGAAUUUUAUUCUUUUACUCUAAUAGAAGAUUUUUUUGAAAAAAAUAAAUGAACCCAAUAAAUAGAUGAUACACUCUUUGAAAUAAACUAGAUAAUUAUAUACAUUAUUAUUCUCUUUAUAAAUUUAUAAUACUUAAUCGAUUAUAGUAGUUAGUAUAAGGUAGUAUACCUUAUCUCUUCUAAGACCCCUCUUUCUCGUCGGGCUCUCCACAUCCUUAUAUCAUUUUUAUCUUUGAUUGUAUCAAUAUAUUCUUAUCGAUUUUUUAUCUUUAAUCGUAUCAAUAUAUUCUCAUCGAAAUAUAUUUUAAACUUAGGUACCUAUCUUAUUGUCGAGUGUUUUAUAAUAUUUAAUAUUAUGUUAGUGCUAAGUCUAUCCUUUCAUCAUUGUUUAAAAAAGAUUCUAAAUAAUUGAAUAAUUACAGUUUGUUACUAUUGUAAAAAAAUAAGUGAUAUUUACUGCAUUUAAGUGAGACACAACCUACAGCAGUUAACUCCUUCAAAUUGAACAGCUCAUAUAGCUCUCAUGUCGAGUGAUUACUAUCACUUUUUAGCUUGGAAUCACAGUGUAAAAUCACAUCAAUGUCAGUAAACUUUUGUACAAUGCAUUACAAACUGUGGCACAAGUAACAGUAAGCUUGGGGGUGCAUGUACCAGUUCUUAAAAGCAUUAAAGGAACCAAGGACAUCAGAUUACUCCUUCCACCCAGAGAUUCUGAUUCCUUGGUCAAGUAGUCUUCUCUUUUAUGCCAUCCAUUCUGCUGCCAAAGUUUAGUGUGGAGGCAUCCAAAGGAGUAAAAUGGUAAAGAAUUAGUCACAUCAGCUAGAUAAUAAUACCCUCUUGAGCAUCCCUCCUCAGAUUAAUUCAGUCCUUGCACUCAUUCUUAUGUUCAGUAUGGCAUUAGCUGAGAAGAAAAGAUGGGGCCAAUCCAUUUAAAGUUGGAAAUAGUGAUUUGAGAUUCCCUUUCUUGCAAGUUAGUAACCAUUCAUGAUGUAUUAGAAUAGAGUUAUAACUUGUUGGUGAUUCAUCACUUGGUACUGAUCUUGCAGCAUGAGGCAAAGAUUGGCCCUUUAACUUCCUUAUUUGAUUGGUUGACAAUUCUACAACUUGGAAUGAUCAUCUAAAUAUGAAUAAUAGCUUUUGAUCUCUAUGAGAAAUAUCAUUGAUAUGACAAUUAUUCACUAACAAUCAAAGUUUAACAUAUGGAGCUUAAACAAUGAUGUGUCAAUUAAGUAUGUCAUAUCAACUAUAAUAUCAAUAUAUAUAUAUACAUAUUUCAUCACAUAAGAAUAAAUAAUGAUAUGAGAGCGUAGAAGAACUCAUGAUGAAUAAAUACCCUUGGCUUAAGUUUUAUAAGACUUGUCUAAAUGUGGAUUUAAAUACCAAAUCCUUUUUCAUAUAUGGAAGAACUCCCCUUCAGUCAAUUCACAAAUCCGAGUGGGUAUUUCACACUUGAAUUCUUUUUCGAAGACGGAAGAACAUGCCUUGAACCAAUCCAUCAAGUGACUCGAUCUUCCUAAUUGGACCUCCAUCAUACUUCAUUUAAGUACGGAAAUGUGAUAGGGUAUGAACAAGAAGAUCUGUUUAGGUCAUCUUUGUCACGUCAAAUUGACUAACACUAUAUGUAUGAUGUGCUCAUAAAUGCUUUGGGGCUCGUUCAUUUACCUUUCUUUAGCUUAGCUCGAUUCUUUACCAAUCCCUUUUGGCGAAGGGCUCCUUUGGAUUUCUUGAGCAUAGGCUUUAGUUGCUCUUACCUCUUAAGUGACUACUUCUCGUUCCCAAUACAAUUUAGUACUACACGCAUGGUUCUUUUGGCACGUAGCAUUCAGAAGUAUCUUCCUUCGAUCUGCACCUUUAAUUUGUAGGAAUACUUCCACCUCCAUACUGAAUAUGUUCAGGGAGGAUACCAACUUUCUCUUUAGCAUGUUCGACAAGACCUUUGAGAGCUUUAUUCUUUUGACUCCUUUUGAGGUGCCUUCUUCAGCUGUAUCAUGCCACUGCAUCCACUCCAACAGCUCACGGUAGCCAAACAUGAUGGAUUAUUAAUAUAUAGGAUGGUCUUAUUAAUAACUUUAAUGAUGUGAUAUAAAUCAUCAUGGUCGAUAAUAGUGUGCCUAACGUUAAAUACUUACCGAGCAGGUCCAUUUGGUGACCCCUCGGCUGCCCUGUGGGAUAUCUAUGAUGUGACUCGAAAAGAUUUUGGUUACUUCCAUGUAUCUACACACACAAUGCAGCCAUGAAAUGCUAGAUUCUGGUCCAGAAUACUCGUAUUGAGACACGUCUUUCUUUCGAAAUAUAACAUAUUUUAGCAUUCGUCCCAUCUGACAAUCGGCUGUCAUAGUAUACUUGACGUGGUAUCCCUAAACUAACGUAUCGCAUCGAGCCAACUUAACAUCAUGAGCCUGAGCAUGUCGAUCGCCUGAAGCCAUCUCUCUACACCCACUCUAUCCCUCUGCAACUAUGCAUCGCGCCACACAGUAGGUGGACAGUAACAUCGAACGAGACUAAAUCGAGCAGAUUAGAUGGCUCUUACACCCAACGCAAAGGCUAACCACCUACGAUAUUAGCAGGUAUUAAACACUUGAAUACGAUGACGAUCGAGGAUCAUUAAUGUUGCUAUAUAUGAUCGUACGUAGAAAUAGAUAUUAAAGCUAUCCUUAGGAAUAGUGCUGGGGUUGGUCCUCAUACAUAUACUCUAACUCUCUUAUCUUUAACUCUCGUUAACUUAAGUACUGGAGGGAUCAAAUCAAAAAUCUUUUAUUCUGUAUGCAGAUAGUCAAGACCUAAAAAAGUAAUCUUCAGCUUUAUUGAUACGUAGGAGAAUGAGACCUAAGACCUACGCCCCUUCAACCAUAUUGAUAAUCUUGUGCAUUCGGGAUGGAUCAGUGUUGAUACCUCGGCGACAGCAUAAAGGUGCAAAACACUACGUAUCUUAAUCCAAGAGGGAGGCUGAAGAAGCUGUCUCAAAAAUCAGGUUCAGCGUAUUCCACUCACCCAUCCAAUCUGAGCUGCUGCACCAUAGGAAGUACCUAAUCUGUCACCUCAAACAAGUGAGGCCCAUGCAUACUGUGCAUGGAGAAUCCUAAACGCCAUCCAAGCACAAAGAGGUCAUGGCAGAUGAAAGAAAUGGUGGUCUGCUCGAAUCAGGAUUGGCUACUUCAAUGACAGGGAGAGGACAGCAAGAUUCUUUAUAUAUAUACAAGCUGACUGUGAAUUAACGGAACCAGUCACAAUGAUUCACCUAAAAGCAAUUAUCUGCUUUAUGGAGGGUUUUUCAAGCCAUCAUAAUGCUUGUUGGCUGGCACUAUCUUUACCAACUUGAUGUCUUGGUUUCAUGUGGCCAUGCUAUGACAAUUGUAUUGUCAUAUUUGUCUCGUCUCACAGUCUGUCUGUGGACCUGGAAUCAAGGUAAAGAUUGGCAGCACAUGAAUGAAUGCCUGUGUGCUGACAAGUGAUCUUCAUGAGUGCCGAGUAGGGACUACCAAUAAUACAUAUGUGGCUAUAAUGAGAAAAAUGCAACCUCGUUUCUCGGGGUCAAUCAUCCUUUACUUCCCAGACUUGCCACCGAUAAGAGAGGAAGAACAGUGUAAUAAGUUCACGCGCUUAGCACACCUGUCAUGCACUAUCGACCUCUCCUCUUUUUCCUUGCACCUUCUUAUGAUAUCUAUUUCUAGUAAAAGAGAAAAGAAGUGGAGUGAAUACGGUGAUGUCGAGAGAAAUAAAAUGAGACUGCUUCUUUUAAGUAGCAUCAAAUUUACAAGAGUUCUUGUUGCUCUCCAAAGAGCAGACAGAUAGAUAUACAAGCAUAAGCAAUGUAUACAAUAUAAAGAGAUACCCUAAGUAUAUAUACAUACAUACAUACAUACAUACAUACAUACAUACAUACAUACAUACAUACAUACAUACAUACAUACAUACAUACAUAUAUAUAUAUGUAUGUAUAGAGAGAGAGAGAGAGAGAGGCGUUCUACGUAUAUGUACUACUAUCACAGUAGCUAUAUCUGUACAUAGAAGUGUAUAUCGGCUGUAAAGAGAACUCCCUGUUCUUCUCUCCCUUAAAAUGGAGCUGUUAGGGUUCUUUGGAGGGUGUGCUUUGCAGGCACGAAGAGGUGAUCCUGCGCGGCUUUCUUUAGCUGCGCAAAGAACGACGACUUAAGCCUUUUGAUCUCAUCAAAGGGGAGAAGAAGGGACUGUUAAAGUGCUACUGAACUCGGAAUUACCUCCUCAAACUGUCGCUUCAGCGUCCUGUUCUCGUUCACUAAGUGAUCCACCUCCUGCUCCAACUCAGUUGUGUAAGCCUUUCCCAUGAAGCACAGUGAAGAGAGUGAGAACUCAUAAUCACUGGAGGGAAAAAGUUAGAGAGAGAGAGAGAGAGAGAGAGAGAGGAGCCGAUGCCUGUUUCCUGGCUCUCGACCGAGCUGCCGACUCACGGUUCUUGAUCAUCCGCUUCUUCCUUCGGUCGACGUCGCUCCGAUCGCCGGAUUCUUCGUUCAACUCAUGCUCCAUCUGGUGCUUCUUGCUGCAGCAAGCUACGACGCCGUCACCGACGCCAUCCGAGAAGAAACUGGAGGCGGAGGAGGAGGAGAGACCAUUGCUGCCACCGCCGAGGUUGGAGUUGAGACCAAGAGCGGUAGAAGGAGGAGGACUGCGGUCACUGGUCGCCUUGAAGUGCUCGGUAAGGAAGUCUUGGAGAAUGAUGCUUUUAAAGGAGGUGGUGGUCGACGAGCUGACACCGCACAGGCGCUCGAGGUGGUUUGGUGGAAGGGAAGGAAUGGAAGGCAUGUCUUGCUGCAGAGAACUCAAGCUUAUGUCCUUCCACACCUCCUCCAUGAUCCUGGUGUUCUUGGAGAGCAUGGAGGAGUAGGGAGUCAUGGAGGAGGAGAGGAAGAGGAGAUGAUGACCUCCCCUAGCCAGAAUAUGGGAUCUGAAUGACUGAGUCGUUUUGUGCUUUAAAGGGAACUGUGGAGGAGGGAAUGGAAUUCUUUUUAGUGCUUAAAAGUCAUGUAUACUAACUAUGCCAAAUCGGAAUCCAUAUCUAAUAUUUAGAUUUUGUGUCACAUAGAUCAGUUCUUUGACUUCCCCAGAUAGAUUCAACUUUGUGGGUAGGCCAACUUAUCUUCCUAUUGGCCAAGACAGCUGGCGGAGCUAUGGAGUCUGGUGGAGACGGAAAGCAUGGCAGCCAUGGUUCUGCUCUCAGUCUCAAAAUUGAUGAUUUGUGUGUCAGCCUUCACUUCGGUUGCCUGUUUCAUCACUGCACAUACUUUCAUUUUGUAUCUUAAUCAACUGCAUCCAUGAGCGCAGCUAUCGAAUAUCAACCCGGCUAAGAUUUUGGUUACUGGAUUAUUGGUUGUCAGCUGGAGUGAGAUCCAUCAUGUAGUAGCUCACCGGGUGGUGCGUGCUGCUGUCCUUCACCUUUCUUUCAGUAGCGUCUUCGACAAAGCAUUUGCCCGCAGAGACACUCCGACACCCAACCGAAAGAUGGUGUCAGCUGCUGCUGCUGCUACUGCUACGAAGGACGUAUAAAGAUGGAGAUAGAGAGAUAGAUGGAGAGAGAGAAAGGAAGGAAGAAAGAAAUGACAGUCGUACGCUAUUAUCCGCUGUGGAUGCACAUUCUCCCGUCCCAAAAGCUCGCAUGACGGUGGAAAGAGAUGGACGCCAAAUUGCGGGGGCCACAAAAGGCAAAGGCAAAAAGCACGAUUCAUGUCACGCUCGCCCUUAAUCUCACACCACACGACGACGCUCCACGUCUUGUCGUCGUGAACUCCGUCGCUACCUUUGUCGGGACGUCGGCGAGGACUCUUCCGAACAACAAAUCAUGUUUGUCGGGUCACAAACCCGAUAUGAAUCCGAAUCCAUUUUUAAAAUUAUAUUAAAAUAGAAAAAAUUACCUGCCCACUUGAGUCAUAAUCCUUUCUUCUUUUAACCUAUAUCUAAGAAAAAUGGAUAGCAAUCGUUAUGAAAAGGGGGAAGCAACGAUAGUAGUUUUGGACAGAAAAACAAGAGAAGAAAAAUAUAAAAAAUAUAAGAACAACAUAGAAAUUGUUCUCAAUCAUUUAAACAGUAUUCUCAUCUUAAGUUAAAUCAGAAGUAGAUUCUUGCUAUGAUCACUUUGAGAAAUUUUAGAUAUUGUGCACAAUGACGUAAUUCUUUUAUUCCAGUUAUUCUCUUGUAAUUGUUGGUUGAGUUUUGAGGAUUCGUUAAUUAUGACAUAAAAAACAGAAAGAACAUAAAAUGCAUUCAAGUAAUUCGAUUAAGAGGAACAUAGUGCAUUAAUAUUAAUAUUCAAGUUCCAAUAUUCACAUGGCUCGAUUGAAUCAUGGUCCUGAAAAGAUCAAGUUCCCAUAUGAAUUGGAGUUCCCAAUUCUUGGGCAAAUCUUAAUCUUCCACAUGGUUGAACAUUUGCUUUCUCCACCCAAUCUUGUGUACCAGUACAACAAUUUGUACUUAAAAACGGAGGAGGAGAAAACCAAAACAUAUAUAAUUAUUGAUUGUACCUUUUACUGUAUUAAUUAGAUAAAUAAUAGUGUUAACGUAGAUUUUGAUUAUCGAGAUAUCAAAUCACGAAGCUAACUUUGGUUCUUAUCUAAGCAUGUCACCAAUGUGGUGUUGGAGAUAUGAGUGGUUCAACAGAGAUCAUUUGUGUGUGUUUGAUAAAAGCAUAUUUUCAUCGUAAAUAAUAAUUAUAUGACGUCAAUUAUAGGUAUAUAAAAGCUAUAUAUUUAAUUAUAUUUAAAAUAUUAAUUUAUAAUUAUAUUUUCUUCUGGCUCGUCUCGUACUACUUAUUAUAAUCAUUUCAUCUUUUCUAAUUAUCACAUCUUCCGAACACAUUCUUUCUUCUUCUUUUUUAUAAAGAUUAAAAAAAAUUAAAAGUCUCUAAAAAAAUUAAGGGUACUUUACCUCUUAAUUUUCCUCCAAUUCUUAAAUCAGUUCAACCUAUUAAUACAAAUCGAUUUAAAUUAAUAUUAUAAUUAAAAAAGCUAUUACUAGUGUCAAUACCAAUAUCAUUGCUAUUGCCAAUAUCAAUACUAUAAUCAUUAUCAUUACCAUUAGCAUUAUCAUUAUUAAUAUCAGUAGCUACCGAUUGAUUGCUGAUCAUCUUUACCACCCAAUCUCAUCGAUAAGUAUCACUUAAUCUGUUCAGCAAAACAUGGAGUCGUUUACACGAGACAAUAUACUGUCUUCAAACACAGACAAAGAACACACAUGUCGAUUACUAUGCACUUGUGCACAUCCAUCUCAUGUAUCAUAAAUGAAGGAUACAGGCAUGCUUAAAAACCUUCAUGCCCAUGUACGUAGUUGAGAUGAUAUAAGCUUCAUCUCAUCCUCUGGCAGAAUGGCGGGCAAACCCUAGCAACCACAUUCAGCAAGCCUCAGCCAACCCUAACUCUCCAUCAAUCGCAUGCAUCACGAGAGCUGAUUCUACUUGAACUGCAGGCGGCUGGAGAAGGUCUGGCCAAAACCCCAGUUGGAAGGGACGAUGUCAGGGAAGACCAACGUCUGGCCGUCGCUGGUUGUCACCUUGAAGGAGAUGGACUGUCCAUUGAGGUAGGCGGUGGACUGCCAGUUGGCUCCCCAGUUCCUUGACAUCGGCUGCCACCCCGUAUUGGAUCCCUUGAUGGACAUGGACUGGAUCGAUCCGGCUGCUGCGACGUUGGUGACGAGCACCAGCUCGAAGUAGUCCCGCCCGUUGAUGGUGAACCUCACCCCUCCAUGCUUCUUGCAUGGAACCCUGCGUGGCAAGGAGACAUGGUUGGUCCAGGUCGAGCAUGCUCAUGGAUUCGUGAGAGAAGUAAGAGGGGAGAACCACCUCUGGAACAGCACCGGCACGAUCCCGCCGCGGUAGAUGCCGAUCUUCUCCCACGCCGGCUGGGCCAUGUCGAAGUGCUGGCGAGGGGUGUUGCACCACCCGCCGUUGUCGUUGGGGAGCGCGUUGUUGGGGGGGCAGAAGUUGGUGGCGGUGACGGUCACCGACACGCCCCUGACGCACCACCGCGGAUCCGUCUUGAAGUCGCAGACGAUCUUGUAGCAUUGCCCGCACGCCGCGCCGUCGUUGAACAGCGCCGUGCUCAGGGCGGCGGUCCUGGUGCCGUACCCCGCCGAGUACAGGUCGCCGUAGCCACAAGCUCCACCUGCACACCAAACAAUCCACUGAGACCUCGAAAUCACAUGGCCGCAGCAAGAUCCGUCCUCCUAAUUACCCAUUGUUCCCGACGCAUCACUGCCACCGUAAAACGUGGCGGAGCCCUUGGUCCACCCUGAUCGUGCAAGGCCUUCGAUCGUGGUGAACGAGCAGCAGCUCAGGAUUAGCAGAGCGAAGAGGCCAAAGUUGACGCCCAUCUCCAUCCACCUCGAAGUGAACACUUCCUGUCAAGGGGAUGGAUGCUAACAUCAUUUAGAGGCUGUCUAUAUAGGAGGAGAAGGCAAAUGGCAUGUGACUGCUGCAGCCACAUCCAUGACUUGCGGGCGUCCAUUAGUCGUCUUCCUGCCAUCGACUACAGAUCGCAUCAGUCCCAUGCUAUCUUUCUCAAUGGGCUGUCAUUUGUUUAUGUGGGCAAUCAAUUAGGUUUCAUGUGAUCUCUUUGGCUGCUAAGAUUCAUCAGAAAGGUGGAGUUGUUAAGUGAGAGGCAUCACAUGGUCACAUGCUCCAAACUGAGAGCAAGCACAUGGUUUAUGACCUUUGUGUUGGUUGGCAUGGAUUCUCUCCAAAUAUAUAUUCGCUUCGGAUUAGGUUUUUGAUCUGCCUGCCACUUGCAGAGCAGAGGUAGGUGAAAAGAAACAAAGAAGAAGUGAGCUUAGCACCUGAAGAAGGAAAGGGAAAAGGAUAAACUGUUAGACAGUAGAAAGAUUAAUGGCUGAUCUGAACAUGUCUAGCUAUGAUACUGCAUGAUAAUGGCACAGUGGAGAUCUUUCAGUAUAGUUAACUCCUAUGUUUGCCAAUGGACUGUCUUAUUGUAGUGUCUAUUUCUUGGAGAACUCCUUGUCGGUGCCGAGAUCUGAGAUAUAUGAGCUGGAGAGAAGGUGAAAGAUUCACUGGACACUGAACUUGAGAGAUGUCAGGAAUAAGAGGGAGGAUCAGAAACUUUUCUCGCUCCCUUUGGCCUUUUCUCCCCGACACGAGCUUCAUAUAUUUCAGAUCGCUUUUCACAAGAGGAGAAGCUCGUGGACAAGAGAAGCUUUUCACAUGAAUGAUUGAACAUGCCAAUUAAAGAGAGAGAGAGAGAGAGAGAGAGAGAGAGAGAGAGAGAGAGAGAGAGAGAGAGAUGUUGGAUUGUGUUUUGGUUACACACUGAUUGGUGUUUGCGGAGACACUUCCUGUGAACCAAAGUCAUUUUGGGGGGUCGUACCAACUUGAUCUUGUCGGUGAUUGACUUGUAUACCUUCGUAGAUUUGGAGAUGCAUGUCGUCGUACGUAUGGAAGGACUGUGAUGGUAAUGCAACGCACAGCUUUGAGACGUAGGACGAGUAAUAGUUUUUCGAAUGAGAGAGGAAUAGAGAUAAGGAGAUAAGAAAAUAAUAAUGAUAAAUUAAUGCAAAAUAAGAAAAUUCAAAUUGUUGCACCUCCAUACAUCUCAAUAGAAUUAAUUAUACAAGACAUAAUUAAUGGUCUCACACCACUCGUACAUAAUGUGAGAACAAAAUUAAUAUAUUAAAUAUUUGUUUAUAUUUUUUUAGACUUCUCAUGUAAUUCGAUUUAUUAAUUAUUUUUUAUGAUUUUUUUAGCAUUCGAGAAUAAGAAUAAGAUGAAAAAUAAGGAAAUAAGAAAAUCAUGAUCAUAUCAAAUCAAAUAAUAAUUUUGACUUGAUUUUAAAAAUAAAAUUUCUCUAUAUUCUUAACCGAUAGAAUUUCAUUCUCGUAAGGAUGAAUACUUAAAAUCUUCUAUUAAGAUCUCUCAUCUUUAAUGAUCAAAUAUGAUUUCUUUUAUUUUCUUCUUUUUGUCGAGUAGAUAAUGACAUGAGACAACUUUUGUAUAUGUAAAAAAUUCCUAAAGCAAUCAAAUAUAUUUAAAUAAAAAUAUAUUAAUUUAGUUCUGUGUCACUUUGGUAAACUAUUUUGUCUUUAUUCACCUCAUAAUUAUGUUAUGAUACAAGCACUUAAAAAAUAAAUAAUUAUAUAAUUUAGUGAGCCAAAAAAAGUAAGAUAAGUCUUUGUGAAACGAUUAAAUUAUUUUUUGAUAAUCUAAAUGACUUAUAAUAGGAAAAACUGAUUAUCAAAAUUUCUUAAUUGUAAAUUGAUUAUCGUUAGACUAAUAAUACAAAAUUUACUACGUAUAGUCCACUAUGGGUAACACAUUUGGUGCAAAACCAUUAGCAACCAUAAGCCAUAGUAUUCCACUUAUUUGAAGUCGCCUAUAAUAACCUUUCUUCAUUGUGUUAAGCAAUUAAUUUCAACAUGGACUUAGUCUUGGCUUGAUUAUACCAAUGUGUAAUAGUAGCAUGUAGAUCAAUCACAUAGAUGGAAUUGGAAAUUUUAUACACAUAGAUGUAAUAGUACCAUGUAGAAGUUGAUAUAACUAAACUAUACUCAUCUUGUAUGUGUUCUAAGGAAGUGCUCCAAGUUUGUGUAGUUGACUAGUUCUGAAUGAUAAGUCAACGUGCAAUCCCAUGUGAUCACCAUAGCUUUUGCAUCUGCAGGUGCUUUCCAAGCAAGGCAGACUAUUUCUCAGAUUAGAGAGAGAGAGAGAGAGAGAGAGAGAGAGAGAGAGAGAGAGAUGGCACUGAGUUUGACCCAAUUGUGAUGAGCUUUCUUUCCAAAGAGGAGAACAUGUCCAGUACUGUUCCGUGUCAAAAGUCAGAAGGAACCAAGAAAACUAAUGUCUACAAAGGAACUCAAACAGGAGGAGUUCGAGCGGUUUGUGCUCAUACCGGUAAGUGCUGGUCGUCGAUGUCGGCGCCCACUUGAGCUAUUAAAUGUUAGAUCUCAGUCAACCACGAAGAACACCUACGCCAGACAGCAGCUUCAUUCCGCCAACUCCGGGGGGAAUGAACUCAGAAGAUACACCAACUCCGGGCCAAUCUGAACUGAUGCUGACACAACACCAAUCUCCUUCCCCACCAACUGCAAUCAGUAGCUGUAAUGAGUAGAUUUAGUAUCCUAUCGAAAGCGAGAGAAGAUAUGAAUACGUUCUUUAAAGUCUAGUUAGGUCUAACACUAUUAAUUUGGACUUUAAAGUGCAUUUGAGAUCCAACUCAACAUAGUUAAUGAGUUAAUUAUUCUAUCAGAUCGAAUCAUAUUAUUCGUUCCAUGAAUGAGACUUGAGAGCAAGUCAUAAUACGAAGUUAUCGUUAGGUUACACUUCACGUGUACUAUGCUAUACUUUAAUUUUGUAUUAUGUUACAUUAAAUUCUUAAUUGGAGAAUAUUAUAAUGCUCUGAUAUAGUCGUAUAUCGGAAGUGAGGGAUGAUUGGAAUGAAACUCGUACUUAGCAAAUCAAUUAUCCGAUAAAAUCGAAUAAGGUGUUUGUAUGCAGGUCUAAUUCUGUGAUGGAAGGUGAAGUGAGUCAGUGAAAUAUUGUCUCACUGCUCAAAAUAAGGGAAGAUGAUUCAGAUGGAGAAGAACAUAUUGUUGUGUGGAUUCAAAAUGCAUCAGUGAACAGCCAACAAAGUUCAAAAUGCUGCCACAAACGGUGUAAAGCAAAGAUGAAGAGAAGUGCUUACGUUAGUGUAUUUUUUUGAGAUAAAAGCCUACAUUUGUAAGCUCAAAGUAUGGUGUCAAGCCUUCUUCAUGUCAUUCUGCAGGAGAACACUUCUCUCUGAAGGGAUUUCUUUAUGUCAUUCGUCUUCUCUUUACAUCUUAACUAUAAUGAGAGUUCGAAUCCUCAAUCCAUGGAAACAGAUCGAAAACAUACCAUCCAACUAAUCAUUUAGAUGUAAGAAAAUUGGGUUGAUAUAAAAGAUUAUGUAUGAUUAUUAUUAAUUUGAGCUUAAAUAUUGCUAAGUCAGUGAUUUAAACUCAUCAAAUUAAUUAAUUGAAUAUCUCAUUUGGCUAAGUUAGAUCAUACAAAUUAUACUUUUACUAGACAUUUGGGAGUUAGAUCAUAGAUAAAUUAGUCUACUAGCAUUAACAUAAGUUUUAAGUAUUUUGGAGCAAUGAUUUAAACUCAAUCAAAUUAAUUGGUUAAUUAUAUCAUAAUAUCCAACAUCUGAUAUAUAAUCUAUCAAUAAUAUAGAAUCUAAUCUACUUAUUAUCUUUCAAAAUCACAAGUUAUUCUCUUGUAUAUUUUUAGAAUCAUGAUAGUCUCAUUUAUACAAGUCAAUUGCUACUUUAUGUUCUAGAAUAGCUUUAUAACACCAAAAAGGUUGCCUUCUUAUCUGAAACAUUUAUGGAACACUAAAUGACCAACUCAAGCUUUUCAUGAUCUUUUAGAAUCUGAAUUAAGGCAUAGAAAAUAAUGAUGGUUGAAUUGGCCUCCAAUCGGCUUUCUUAUCCUCAUCCAGAUAGGAGAUAUCUCUCUCCUGUGUCUUAUUAUAUAGAGCAAGUGGAGAAAUGUGGUUUGCUUCUUUCCUAAUUCUCUCUUAAUUUUUGUCUAUUAUAUUCACAUUUUCAACAUGAGCAUUAAGAAGUGAAUUCACGCUUAUUCUACAUCAUUGAUCAAUCUCUUAAAUAAUGUAUCGAUUACCUUAGUUGAUUUGGUCGUAUAAUGAUCAUGAUCCAAAAGUCUAACACAAUAUACAAUGUAGUAAUUUAGAAAGAAUAAGAACACAUCACAUGAAGAUACAUUAAGGGAAUAUACAAUAUAUAAUGUAGUAAUUUUAUUCAUAUCAGUCUUUUCAUAACCCCUUUCUAUUUCGAAAUAGUUUGUUUUCUCUUAUUAUCGGAUAAAUGUGUUGUUGACUUUUUUUUUUGUUAGCUAAAUUUAGAUUCCUAUCUUUUGAUUAUCAAAUAUAUAUGCCUUUUAUAUUGGUUUUGACUAUCAUAAUAGUUGAUAAUAUUUUAGAACCAUAAGCAAUGUCUCCAAAUAGGUUCAAUUUAGGUUUGGAUAUUGAACAGAUAAUAAAAAUUAAUUUAGUUUUUUUUAUCUUUAAUUUUAGUGUGACUUUUUUCUUAUAUUUUAAAUUUUAUUCAGAGGAAAUAGAUCGUAUCAAUAACGAGUAUACAUGACAUGAUAGUCCGAUCAUUCGAUAUUAAAAAGAAUAACGGAUAUAAAAAAAAGUAACUUAAAAUUUUAAUAUUUUAGAAGAUAAACUAUGACAAAAAAACACCAAGGAGUGAAUCAAACUCGGCUUUCUUACUCUUAUCCAAAUAUGAGUUGGAGAUUCUAUCCAAAGUCUUAUUUUAUAUAGCAAUAAAAGGAGAAUAUGAUAAUACUAAGAAAUAGCGUUAUUUAUAUAUUUUAAAAGAUAAUUCUCACAUCACAAAUAUACAUGACAGUGCUUUCAUAGUUUCAUGUAUCAAUUCCUUAACAAAGCUAAGUGCCUCAUUGAGAUUAUUGGCUCACAAAAAAAAUUGAAAAUAAUAUAAAAUAUAAGUUUAUUUUGCAAACACUCUACAAAUAUUAUUAAUAAAGCCCAAUAUAAUAAUAUAUAUAGCUUUUACAUUUGUGUCGACCAUCACAUAGUUUUGGAAAUAUAAGGGNNNNNNNNNNNNNNNNNNNNNNNNNNNNNNNNNNNNNNNNNNNNNNNNNNNNNNNNNNNNNNNNNNNNNNNNNNNNNNNNNNNNNNNNNNNNNNNNNNNNNNNNNNNNNNNNNNNNNNNNNNNNNNNNNNNNNNNNNNNNNNNNNNNNNNNNNNNNNNNNNNNNNNNNNNNNNNNNNNNNNNNNNNNNNNNNNNNNNNNNNNNNNNNNNNNNNNNNNNNNNNNNNNNNNNNNNNNNNNNNNNNNNNNNNNNNNNNNNNNNNNNNNNNNNNNNNNNNNNNNNNNNNNNNNNNNNNNNNNNNNNNNNNNNNNNNNNNNNNNNNNNNNNNNNNNNNNNNNNNNNNNNNNNNNNNNNNNNNNNNNNNNNNNNNNNNNNNNNNNNNNNNNNNNNNNNNNNNNNNNNNNNNNNNNNNNNNNNNNNNNNNNNNNNNNNNNNNNNNNNNNNNNNNNNNNNNNNNNNNNNNNNNNNNNNNNNNNNNNNNNNNNNNNNNNNNNNNNNNNNNNNNNNNNNNNNNNNNNNNNNNNNNNNNNNNNNNNNNNNNNNNNNNNNNNNNNNNNNNNNNNNNNNNNNNNNNNNNNNNNNNNNNNNNNNNNNNNNNNNNNNNNNNNNNNNNNNNNNNNNNNNNNNNNNNNNNNNNNNNNNNNNNNNNNNNNNNNNNNNNNNNNNNNNNNNNNNNNNNNNNNNNNNNNNNNNNNNNNNNNNNNNNNNNNNNNNNNNNNNNNNNNNNNNNNNNNNNNNNNNNNNNNNNNNNNNNNNNNNNNNNNNNNNNNNNNNNNNNNNNNNNNNNNNNNNNNNNNNNNNNNNNNNNNNNNNNNNNNNNNNNNNNNNNNNNNNNNNNNNNNNNNNNNNNNNNNNNNNNNNNNNNNNNNNNNNNNNNNNNNNNNNNNNNNNNNNNNNNNNNNNNNNNNNNNNNNNNNNNNNNNNNNNNNNNNNNNNNNNNNNNNNNNNNNNNNNNNNNNNNNNNNNNNNNNNNNNNNNNNNNNNNNNNNNNNNNNNNNNNNNNNNNNNNNNNNNNNNNNNNNNNNNNNNNNNNNNNNNNNNNNNNNNNNNNNNNNNNNNNNNNNNNNNNNNNNNNNNNNNNNNNNNNNNNNNNNNNNNNNNNNNNNNNNNNNNNNNNNNNNNNNNNNNNNNNNNNNNNNNNNNNNNNNNNNNNNNNNNNNNNNNNNNNNNNNNNNNNNNNNNNNNNNNNNNNNNNNNNNNNNNNNNNNNNNNNNNNNNNNNNNNNNNNNNNNNNNNNNNNNNNNNNNNNNNNNNNNNNNNNNNNNNNNNNNNNNNNNNNNNNNNNNNNNNNNNNNNNNNNNNNNNNNNNNNNNNNNNNNNNNNNNNNNNNNNNNNNNNNNNNNNNNNNNNNNNNNNNNNNNNNNNNNNNNNNNNNNNNNNNNNNNNNNNNNNNNNNNNNNNNNNNNNNNNNNNNNNNNNNNNNNNNNNNNNNNNNNNNNNNNNNNNNNNNNNNNNNNNNNNNNNNNNNNNNNNNNNNNNNNNNNNNNNNNNNNNNNNNNNNNNNNNNNNNNNNNNNNNNNNNNNNNNNNNNNNNNNNNNNNNNAUAUAUAUAUAUAUAUAUAUAUAUAUAUAUAUAUAUAUGAUGAAGAUUUAAAAAAAAAUACAAUGUGAAGGUAAAAAUUAUAGAGGUUUUUAUUACAAAGAUAAAUGAGAAAUGCUACCAAUAAUUAAAGUCAUUAUCAACUAAGCUAGCUAUUUUCUUAUGAAAAUAAAAUGAUAUUAAAAAAUCCUAAUGAUAUUGAUUUAUUUUUUUAUUUCAUUCGAUAUUUUUAGUGAUAACAAAGAAUCUAAAUUAAGCUGGUUUUGACCCCUAAUAUCAUCCUUAAUCCAUUAAAGGAAUUAUAUUUUUCUGGAACCAUCUCAUAUAAAUAAAUUAUUAAUAUACAACAACAAUAAAAUCUUAAAGUCUCAAUCAUUUGGAGUUGACUAAAUUAUUUAUAUACACGUGUCAAUGCACGUGUGAUCCAACGUGAAGUUGGCAUUACACACGUGGGCUGCUCCUACUGGGUCGGUGGUCCAAUCUGACUUCAUUAUCUCAGAAAAAUAAUUAGCUAUCCCACCACUAAUCACAUGAAUUAUGCUAAUUAAUCACCUUGAUAUUAUUCCAUUACUUAAUCUAACACCACUUAACCUUCUCAUUACAUAUGGUUUGCACAAACAUGCCAAAAAAGGAGCCAUCCGGUAAAACGUGCAAGAAAGGAAAGGACGUUUCUGUUUCCCAUUUUGCCCAGUGUUCCCGAAAUGUGCCUGUUUCCUUCCCUAAAUGCCCCCUCCUUUUGGUCUUUUUAUGUCCUGGUCUUGUUCGUCUGCCGAAGCUUCAAAGCCAGAGGAGAACCGUCGCCCCAAUCCGCCGGUAGAAACCAGGAGCAAUCCGCUUCAGGGUUCUUCGAUCCUUGAAGCAGGCAACGCGUCCCCCUGAUCUGAGGCGAUCCCGAUCCGAAAGGUUGGCUUUUUACGGCUAUUCAUCCCUGAGGCGUCGGAUUUGGGGAGGGUUUUGUUUUGGGCGAAUUUGGUCGAGUUCCGGUUGGAAUUGACGGGGAGACUAGCUGUUGACGACCAGCGAGCAGAUCGUGUUGCGCUUGCGAGGGAAGUGGAGUCUCUGCUUUCGCGAGCUGAUGCCAUCUGGUGCCGAGAAAGAGAUGGUCCUGGGUUUUGCCAUCGGGCGUUGGAUUUGCAUAGAAGGUAUUCUUGUUUUGGAUUCUUAUUAUCUAUUAUGUGGUUUGACUUCUUAGCGAUCCUCUAAUUUGAGACAAGAAAAAUGGAGUGGACAAAAAGGUGAUCUUGAAACCUGCGUCUUGUUCGUUGUGAAUUUUCUUGUCUCGAUUGAGAAGAAGUUAAUCGUUUGAUCAUCUUUCAAGAAUCAGUGUCUUUGGCUGCUUUACCUACUCCUUUAUCCUUUUCAUUGUCUUGCAACUAAUGCGCUUUAUAUUCCUUAUUUUCAAUCCGCCAGAGUAGGCGAAGGAAAAGGUUGGGGUUUUUCAUUUUGGGAUAGCAGAUUGAAUUACGACACAUGUUGACAACUCAAACGUGGGCUUAGAUGAGAUGAGGGAUGUUAGCAAAAUUGAUGAACCUAUUGAAGGCCUGCUGGCAGCCAUCAUCAAACAAAUAUGCCCAUGCAGGCUCUGACGUGAUCGGUCGGAAGGAUGGGCUUCUCUGGUACAAGGACAGUGGACAGCAUGUGUACGGUGAGUUCUCCAUGGCCAUGGUACAAGCCAAUAACUUGCUUGAGGAUCAGAGCCAACUUGAGACAGGACCUCUGAGCUCAGUUGAAUUUGGGCCGUAUGGUACUUUUGUGGGGGUUUAUGAUGGGCAUGGUGGUCCAGAAACUUCAUGUUAUGUCAAUGAUCAUCUCUUCCCGCAUCUGAAGAGUAUGUUCCAAACUUACCUGACUCAGUUUAAUUUUUAAACACCACUUGUUAUUUAAUUGAUUAGCACUUCAGUAUUUGUUAGAUAGAAAAACAUGUAAUUUGUUUGGAAGAUUAUUUAUACUGCCAUCAUAAUAUGGAAACUUUUAAUCCAAAGUUUCCAUUGAAAACCUUGUAUGAUGCUUUUUUUUUUUCUAGCAAUUGAAUGGAUCAUUAGCUCCUCAAUUCACAAACAACCUCAACUAUUUUGUAGCUCUACAAAUGUUGUAUUUUCUUUGUUAAGCAAGUCGGUUCAGAGUAGGUUGAUCUUCUGUCUAGGAUGGAUACAAUGAUGCUGAUCUUCUGUCUAAAAUUGGAGGAUUGUAAUUACUAGGACCUAUUUGAUAGAAGUGCUUGGUUUGUCAGGAUUUGCAACAGAGCAGCAGUCCAUGUCAGCUGAUGUAAUACGGAAGGCAUACCAAGCGACAGAGGAGGGUUUCAUCUCCCUGGUGACCGAACAAUGGCCUGUAAAACCUCAGAUUGCAGCUGUUGGCUCAUGCUGUCUGGUUGGGGUAAUCUGUGGUGGUAUGCUAUAUAUAGCUAAUCUCGGAGACUCCCGUGCUGUUUUAGGCAGAGUCGUCAAAGCAACUGGGGAAGUUUUGGCUGUGCAAUUGUCAGCAGAGCACAAUGUAGGAAUCGAGCCUGUGCGACAAGAGUUGCAGUCAAUGCAUCCGGAUGAUAGACAAAUUGUUGUUUUGAAGCACAAUGUUUGGCGUGUGAAGGGCCUAAUCCAGGUGCACAUAAUAUAUAUGUUAUCAUCUUUUGGAUUUAAUUUUCAUGCAUACAUCAACAAUUUUCAUAAAUGUUACUCAUUACCUACGUCUGAUGCUGCACUAUACACUAUACUUCUCACAGGCAUUUAUAUAUAUAUAUAUAUAUAUAUAUAUAUAAUAUUUACCACAAGAGGAAACAAUUUUCUCAAAGAUUACUCAUUAGCUAUACAUGCUUCAGUAGAUUUCUCACAAGCAUAUUUAUAAUUACCACAAUAGGAACAAUUGACCAUUUCAAGUGCACUACUUGCUUGCAUUCUACAAAGCCAUGUAUUGUUGAAAACAACAGUUGCAACUUUAUAUUUGGCUACUCCUUGUAGCCAUUUAGUUUGUUUUAGAUUUUAAAUACCGAAACAUGCGAAGCAAGGUAGGUUUCAUGUUUGGCCCAAGAUAUGGAGCAUUGAGAAGGGACUAAGUGGAAACUUGGAUUGUUAUAUGAUAGUCAUGAACAUACGUCGUUUCUUAUCCUCAAACUGAACUCCCUGGGAUAUUAGCUAUCAUGCAAACGUGGAAAAAUUGGCAUGACAAUUAUCAAACUAUUGAAAUAUUAAAUAAAAACGCUAUUAAGUAUGAUAUGCACUUCCUAACCGACAAUUUCUAAGACUACAAUUGCUUUGAUGAUCUUUGAGUUUAAAAUUAUACAAAGAGACUAACCUUUCUAAAAUUCUCAUUGAGCAGUUAUAAUUUGUGCCUUUCUUAUAUAUCCUUUUUGUGACAUUAAAUUCGGUACAAACCCAAUAGAGAGUUGAAUAGAUUUUUUAUAAAUAAACACACUUCAACUAGCCUAUUAUUCCAAGAAGUUGCUUCACUGAUGCUAUUUUAUGCAUCCUUUGACUUAUGACAGCCAUGAGAAUAUGAUAUAUUGCUAUGGGAUGCCUUUCUUUUGGAACCUAUUUCGGAUCUGUUUCAUUUGCAUGGACUCACUCGCAUGUAGUUAAAUCAUCAAAAGUAUUCCCAGUUACACUUAUUUUACCAGUUUUUUUUAGAUAAUGAUUUUCUAACCACUGAUGGCAUCAGUCUUAGCUGAACUACAUUACCUAAGUCAAGUUUGCCUCUACCUAGAUCAUGUUAUGCAUUGUCACUUUAAGAAAGCUUUUCUGUUGGUUAAUGGUUGAGAUGAAAAAGUCUGAUAAGUAACUAAAACCUGCUUGGACUCAGAAAGCCUACUUAGUCCAAGGUUUUAGCUUUCAGUAGGUUAGGAUUCAGUACAAGAGAGAAAACCGAUAAAUAUAUCUAUAAAAUGGUUGGCCCCAAGUCUUCUCUGGUUCUUGUGUUUUGUAAAUAAUUAUAUUUGUUUAAUUUUUAUGUUAGUGCUGCCUUUGACAAGUGCUUCUCCAGAAGAAAAGCAGCCUCCCAAACCUGUCAGCUAGAAUGCUAUAGUCUUCUUAGGACUGAAAAUAGCAUAUGGUCAGGGCUACUCUGCCCCAAAUCAUAAGUCAAUUCCUAAUUUAUUCGAAAGUAUUUUAUUUAGUAUUCUGUACUAGAAUAUCUUAAAAUAUCUGUAAUCUAUCAAAUAAACCUAUCCGGAUUGACUCGUAUCAAUUGGGCCCAUGAACUACUCUAUCCUGGAGGCCUUAACAGUCUCUAAGUCAAUCCACAAAAGCAUUAUCAGCAUGCUGAAAGUAUCAUCUUAUUAGAAACUGACGUUGAAACACCAGUUAGUAGCUGAUCAACCUAUUUGACCUCUUCAGGGUUUGGUUGUCUUUUUGAGAGCAAAAGACAGCACACAAAAGGGUGGGUUGCAUGAAGAUCUAAUUGCCCUUCAAGGUCUGGCACAACCAGAUAUCAUUUCAGUUACUGGAUCAAUACUUUGGGUUUUGACAAUUGAUGAUAAUCAAGGGCAGCAGGUGAAGACUUUUGUGAUGAUAAAUCCUAGAUGCUUCCUAAUCCAUCUCAACAGAAACAUAUUGAGAUGAUUUUCUUCGUCAACUUGAUAACCCUGAUUUGCAUCAUCUUCUUUAUUUUUCCCUAGCAUGUUAAGAGGAUAGGACGGAUGCAAUCUUGAACAUGCCAUACUACAGUUCCAUUCGGUUGCCAGUGUAAGGUGGAUCUGAGGGAAUUAUUACAGUAUGGUCUAACGUCAGACCACUUGUAUCUGCCUUGAGCCCAGCGAGGGCCUAUUUUUCCCUAGAUCAGCCUUAAAUCAGGGAUGACUGGAUAUAUUUAGCCUUCAAUAGCUUGUUGAAGCCCUACUGCAUGUCAGUCCAGCAACAUUCAGUUCAAAGCAGUCUAAUCCUGUUUUAUAUGAGGUCUAUCUGACUCUUGAAGGGACUGUACAACUCAAUCCUAGUCAAGUCAGAGGAGUGUUCUAUCCAAGCCUUCUAUCCACUCCAAGUUGGAGUAGGUCUAUAUUUUAUUUUCUUAGUAAUUUUUGUACAUAUAUAUAUAGAUUAUUGCAACAGUUCUUUUUGGUGAACCAUUAGAGUCCAAUCCUGAUGUCUAAGUGUCCUAGUAUGGUAAGAUUAGGCAAUUUGUUUAGCUUUUGGAAGUCAUAUUUGGGAGUUCUUAUAUCUUUUAGUUUGAUUUUAUGGGGGAUUAGCUUUUCUCCUAUAUGAUAAGCAAUUUAGUCCAAGAGGCAUGGUUGAGACAUGUAAUUUCUUAUUUGCUUAAUAAUAGCGAUAUUUAGUUAUUUCUCCUCCCUUUCUAACUAUUUUCCCUCAAAGAAGAGUACCUCUCAUUAGGAGAUCCAAUCUUUAUGUGGUAAACAUUAUCAUUUGCCUCACCACUAAACUAGGAACCGAAGCCUCAAUGUCAUAUUUUUGAUAAAACACUUGGCUAUUAUGCACUCUGUAAAUUGUUUUCUUCUGUAAUCUGUGUGUUCAACUUUCGUGUAUGAAUUCUAAAUUUAUCUUCUUUACUUUCUUUUCUCUUUUUGUUGCUUCAUUCUGAUCAAGAGCACCUUUUGCAGAUCUCCAGGUCAAUUGGUGAUGUAUACUUAAAAAGGACAGAGUUUAACCGUGAACCAUUACAUGUGAAAUUCAGACUUCGUGAACCUUUCAAGAAACCUAUAUUGAGUUCAGAACCAUCAAUUACUGUGCAACCACUACAGCCCCAAGAUCAAUUUCUUAUAUUUGCAUCUGAUGGACUUUGGGAGCAUCUUAGUAAUCAAGAAGCUGUUGAUAUUGUUCAAAACAACCCUCCCAAUGUGAGUUCUAUAUCUAUUUUCCCUGGUUGUAGUUUCACAAAAUAUUUUUUAUUUGAUCUUGGAAUCUAUAUCUUACUCAAUUCCAACCUGAACAGAAUGCUCGUUCUUUUCAUCAAAAACCUCAUAAACAAAAAAGAAAAAUGCUAGUUACAAUAAGCAUUCAAUUAACUCAGAUAAAAUGAUAAAAAAAUUAUAAAAUUAUUAUAUGAGAAAAUUUUUAAAUUUUGUGCAAUGUCCGUUUCUUAGAAUUGUAUAUAAAUAACAACAAAAUAAUACAGAAUUAUUUAUGAGAAAAUAAUAUCAUCAUAAUAAGGAAUAUAUUGAAUAAACAGUUUGUGUCUCAUAAAGAAUGCUCAAAAUUUGUAGGUUUGCUGGUAGAGGAUAAUGAUGGACCUCGAGGGAAGUGUUAGGUAAUGCAAACACAAACUUUGAUCAAAGAAAAUGCCUAUUGAAUUUAAGACUAACAGGACAUCCCAUUACUUUUUCCUUCUAGAUUUUGAUCCUUAAUGGGUAUCUUUCCUUCCCUUUCUCCUCUCUUUAUAAACUUUUCUCUCAAUUUCAUUGGUAAUGAACAUUAAAUACUAUAACAAUAGCAAAUGACAAAUAUGAUAGUCGCAAUAAAUAAAAACACAAUAGUAGUAGCAUCUUUGUUAGUUGUGUUUUUGGUCUUUUGUUUGUCUUUCCUUUUUUUAAGCAAAGGAUAAGUAGCGAAGGAUUUGAUCCGAAGACCCUAACAUGAUUUGUCAAGGUUUUUAAGGUUUACCAAACCAAUGUUUUAGGUGUAAAAUAUGUUGGAUGUGGUUUCAAACCCUCAAUUUUUAACAAGUGGAUUUGGUACACCACCAUCAGACUAAUGUUUUAGGUUUAAACAUAUCAUAUGAGGUUUCGAACCCUCAACCCUUUGUAAGUGGAUUUAGUGCACUAUCAUCAAAUUAAUGUUUUAGAUGUAAAAAUAUGUCGGAUAAGAUUUCAAAUCCUUAACUUUUGGAAAGUGGGUAUGGUACACCACCACCUGACUAAUGUUUUAGGUGUAAAAAUAUAUCAGAUGAGUUUUUAAACCCUCAACCUUUGAUAAAUGGGUCUAAUGAUGGUACUAGACCCACUUAUCAAAGGUUAAGGGUUCAAAACCGUAUUUGAUAUAUUUUUUUCAUCUAAAUUAUUAGUCUGGUUAUGAUAUAUCAGAUUCACUUACCAAAGGUUGAUGAUUUGCAAUCUCAUCAGACAUAUUUUUUACCGAAAACAUUGGUGUGAUGGUGCUUUCCUUUCUUACAUUGCUAUCACUAGACCCACUUAUUAAAGAUUGAGGGUUUAAAACCUUAUCUAAUAUAUUUUUUUCACCUAAAAUGUUAGUCUGGUUAUAGUGUAUCAGAUCCACUUACCAAAGGUUGAUUGAUGUAGAAUAGAAUAGGGAAGUAGAGAGAGAGAGAGAGGGAAAGAGAAAGAAAGAGAAGUGUGAGAUAAGAGAGGCGAGUAAGAGACUAGAGAAGAUACAAUUUUUUUAAUUCAAAUCUAAAAAAUGCUUGAUCUAUUGACAAGCUUUACUAUUUAUAAAGGUUUAAGAGCCUUGACACAAUUAAUGAAGAUGAUAAUUCCCAAGAGUAAUCUCCUAGGGAAUUAGUAUACUUUUUAGAAAUCCAAAAUGUGAUUUCUCGAUACCUAAAUACUAAAUGAGUGCACUUAAUAUAAAAGGAGUUCCUAAAAAGACCAAAAGAUUUUUUUUUUAAUUUUCAACACAACUCCUAGAAUUUCUAGACCAACUAAUUGAUGAUUUUUGUUGAUUUCCUUGCCUAGAAUAAACUUUUCUGAAAUCCAUUUUAAAACAAGAUGGUUCUUCAUCAUUAAUUGUUCACAAUCUCAUCUGACAUAUUUUUCACUUAAAACAUUUGUUUGGUGGCGCUUUCCUUGACUACACUCCCUUCUAUUUUUUUUAUUCUUUUGACUUGUCAAAUGGCCUAAAAUUUGUCAAUACCUGUCAAGUUUGCUUGAUUCUAGCCAAUUCUAUUACCAAUUUGUGGUUGUAAGGUUGAGAAUUAAGCAAAACCAUAUGGUCUUGCAUGUUGUCUUAAAUGCCAUGUCAGUUAAUAUCAACACAAGAUUUCAAGUCAUGGAUUCUGACUCACUGGAUGGACUUCUUAGAGUCCUGAGGUGUCCUUUUGCUACAAAAGAAGGCAAUUUGGUUACUCUUUAUGAAGAGUUUAGCUAGUUUAAAAGGGUAUAAAAUCAUUAGUAAUUUUUAGCCUAUUGUAAUUAAAAAUUAGGCAUUAGUAGCCUAUAAAUGAGUCUGUAGAACCUCCUAAUUGUUCUUCUUGGCUACUUUAAAAUAUAUUUUGUAGCAAUAAAAUCCUUUUAAGUCCAUAUAUUAAUCUUUUGAGGACCAUUUCUUCCUCAAAUUAGAGAAAACCCAGUUAGUGGUGGCUGCACCGAACACUCGGUAUUCCUUAGUAAUGCAUAGCACUGAGAACCAUGCCUACCUAAGAUGCAUGCAAUUCUAUGAAAUGUUUGCCGCUAAUAGGUUGGAAAUGACCAAAAUGGCAAAAUUGUUUCACUCAAAUCUUUUUAAUAGACAUCACAACUGGAAUGGCACCGUUGAAAUUACAGGCACAGUCACUGCCACCUUAGCCAGGUAAUAUCUGAUAUAUUACUUCAUCGUCAUGCAAAACAAUCUUAAAUGUCAUGGAUAUGCUAAUUCGGUUUUAUUAUUUGAGAUAAAGUGUUCAAUUUUGAUAUUAUGAGGAUGUGAAAAUUACUCAUAAUAAGGCUGUAGUAGGAAAAGCUAAAACAUUUAAUCUCAUUAUCUCGGUUGGCUUUUAAGAAUCCCUAUUUGAAAAGUCUAAAGAAUGUCUGAUUUGUUAGAUGGAUGUCCAACACAUGGACAUCUGAACUUGGGACUGGAGGGUAAGCAUAUUGGUAAUGUGGCCUACAGAAAUCAACACAGUUCUUACAAAUAUUAAAUUGUCUGUUGGUGCAAAUUUUAUUGACUUGCCUUCCAGUUACUAUACAUUGGAUUGAUUUCACAAACAGUGGGGUUUGAUUGUCCAUUUGCACGAAUUCUGCAGGGAAGUGCUCGAAGGCUUGUCAAAGCUGCGCUUCAAGAAGCAGCCAAGAAACGAGAGAUGAGAUACUCCGAUCUCAAGAAGAUCGAUCGUGGAGUACGGCGGCAUUUCCAUGAUGACAUAACUGUUAUUGUUGUGUUCCUGGACUCCAAUCUUGUUAGCAGAGCCAGCUCAUUGAAGGGCCCCUCCCUGUCAUUGAGAGGGGGUGGAGUCAAUGUGCCAGCCAACUCUCUUGCACCCUGCACCAUGCCAACCCAACUCGGUGCCUCCUGAUAUACUCCUCUCAGUUCAUUAAUUAUGUGUAUGAAAUUAAAUCAGACCAGCCUCCAUGAUCUUGCCCUCACCAGCAUCAGUCGAAAUGGGCUCAAGGACAGAUACAUCUGUUUUAACCUAUUAUAUUGUGCCAAUUCUCAUGUAAGAAUAGUUCAUCUGUGUAUUAUGCUUCUAAACUUGGGAGGAAGUAAUGUUUCAGAAUCAACAAUGAAGGACCACCAAGGCAACAGUUUUCACUACUCUCUAAUAUUUUUCUUUGACCUGUUCUUCUUGGUAAUCAGCUCGAUAAUUCAUUUAAACCACUUGAUAUGUUUCUAGUAGAUGAUUGCCAGCAGAAUGUUGAGUAACAAGUGCUUAAAUUCAUUGAGGUGACCUGUUGCUGCUCAAAUGGAUGGGAUUGAGCUCCAAAACUUAUUCUAACCCAAAAUUUUGGGUUAGUAAUCAACACUGAUGUAUCCUAAUCUUCUUCCUUUCAUAUGACAGCCAUUGCCAUUCGUGCCCCUUUCUGGGCUCAUCAGUGACUUUUAAUUGAAGUACCUUAUGCUAUCAACUUAAUCAUACAAUUAACGUGCAGUUAAUUUGUUGCAAUCUCAUUUUGAUUAGAAGGACAAAUCAUUUGUGCAAUGUGGCCAACAUUAAUGCCUUAUCCUUUUGGUCAUUUGUGGAAGCUUGAAGCUUUAGGAACUUGCUCUAUCUCAUCUUGUUCUUCAACAAGUAGGUAAAACUUCCAGCACAAACAUUUUCUUAUACAUCUUGGCAAUUAGAGUGCAGGAUUUCUUAUGAUAGAGGAAAGAAGAAAGAUUUAUAUUCCACAUGAAGAAGACGACCAACUCUCUUUCAUCAAGAGGAACUCAAUGAAUACAUAAAGAACACUAACUCUUAAUAUAAGCAAGACUCGGGAGUGGCACACCAAGCACAGUGAGCUUAGUUAACAGUCACCUUCCCCACCAUUCCAGCUCCCUGGUGAGGAGCGCAGUAGAAGGUGUAGGUGCCCUUCUCCUUCAAGGUCACCUGGUAGGUCUCGCCUGGGGCAUUCAGUAGGUCCUCCUCGGGCAUGGAGAUGGAGCCGACGUUGACACCCGCGGGGAUCUCGUCCUCGUCGAACACCACGUUGUGGGGGAACCCGGCGUUGUUCUUGAACACGAUCGUCUCCCCCGAGGGCACCGAGAACUCGUUGG
RNAcentral lists this long non-coding RNA (60994 nucleotides) under Musa acuminata (dwarf banana). Its description in RNAcentral is "long non-coding RNA (MACU_LNC005456)". Lineage: Eukaryota; Viridiplantae; Streptophyta; Magnoliopsida; Zingiberales; Musaceae. The record is from RNAcentral.